GAGGUUUACCAAUUGGGGUUGGUGGCUUGUGUUCUGGGAGUGGUUUCUCUCCCUUGGGAGGUUUAGUGGGUGACUUGUGUUCUGGAGGUGGCUUCUCCACCGAAGGCUUGUGCUCCGGUGGUGGCUUUUUGGUUGGAGGGGGCUUGGGGUAAUCAGCAAGAGAUGGGGUGGUGAGAACCACCAGUCCAAGGAACAACACUAGCAAGUAUGUGGGAGACAUUUUUGAGUUUGGGCUGAUCAGAUGAUGCAAAACUAAAGCAUUACGUGACCUUUUAUAGCAAGUAGCUCCCAAUACCUACUUGACACGUGUUACUGUGACCCAUAAAUAUUAUGGGGUCUAUUUGUGCCCUACCGGGUUGAAAACUUGGACAAUUGGGCAAGGACCCGCCUGACUAUGGAGGACUACUGAGGUGUGAUCACAGCUUUAGGAUUUUUCUUCCUCUGCAGCCGUCUUGCCGUUGGCAUGAUUUUCUUAAUCUCAAAUAAAGGCAUAGUUAUAGAGUUGUUUAAUCUCUAAAUGGGAUUUUAUAUAUCUUCAGAUAGCCAUUAAUACAUUUGAUGAAGAAAGAAAGACAAGUGCAUACAACAUGUAUACGACUAGCUUUCAUGGAGUUCAUUUAUGAUCAGUUUUCCUGUACAUGUAAACCAAGAUCAUAUAUGUUUUUGUUCCACAACAAUUUUGGAAUCUUGUUUAUCCGUUUUUAUCAUUAUAAUGUCACAUAGGCUGCCAACUUGGGCGCUAAAUUAAAGAUCCAGUUGGGCAAGUUCGUUUCAGAAUUUCAAUGGUGGAUUCAGGAAUUGUUUUAUAAGAUAUGCAAAAUAGUAGAGGGAUGAAUAGUGUUUCAUUAAGAAAAGAGCCCUGUAAAAAUAUUGUUUAAAGGUGCCAUAGAAACUAUAAUCAAUAAAUAACUUUUUUUCCCCAUGGGUGGUGUUUCUUGUGGGGAUCAGUGACUGGUUUGAGUCAACGCCGUGUCUCUUUAGUCCAGAAAUCAACUAUUUUAUGCAUUGAAUACAUCAACAAAGAAAAUAUGAAAGCCAAAUGACACCUCCCCCGCAAAAACUAAACCCUGGUUGCUAACUUUCUAUGUUUCAGUUCCAUUCACACAAGAAUAUUAGUUCAAGUUUGAGAAAAAUGGCGACUUACCUAGUGAUAACUCGGUCUUGGUUUGCGAUUUGACUUUAACGUCAUGGGUUGAAGCCUCCUACAAUCAUCGUGUAUGCUAGUUCAAAGCUCGUGGAAGAAGUUAUACAGGGAGGGAGAAACCUCCACAGCAAGCUCCAAAAGAGAAUUAUCACAUUGAAAGCUCCAGUUGAACACUGGGUGAAAGCCAUAACAAGAUUGGUUUUCUAUCGCUCUUUUAAGUAAUGGAAGAUUAUUAUCUCUGCUUGUCACUACAACCGUGCAUGCUGCUAGAUCUUUCUAGACACUUCAAACAGUGAAACCAAGUAUGAUUCUUUUUCUCUUGAGUGGGUCCACUUGCAUGCCAAUGAACGAGUUGAAAAGUUGGACAAUUGGCCACAGCGCGCACUUACCUUCUGGAACCGAAGGUCAGUGAAGUGGGGUUCCUUUUGGCCCCUUGUGUUUCUGUUCCAACCUACUCCAGGAACCGAAGUUCAGUGAAGUGGGGCUACUUUUGGCCUCUUGUGUUUCUGUUCCAACCAAACAAAAAUGGGAGGGAAAAAUAGCAUUAUGCUUGUGCUAAAGAUCAACGCAUGAUAGCUGAAUAAGGGAGAAAAAGGCAUUGCUAUCUCAAUUUCAUAAACUUGAUAAGUAGUGACAUUAAUAGUCUUCCUCAUAGAUGGAUACAUGGUUUUAUUUUAUUUAUUUAUUUUUAUUUUUUUGUUUUAUGUCAAUGCUAAUGAAUGAAGUGCAUUAGCUUGUUUUGUGACUAGAACUACAAAUGUCCAAAUUGGAGCUUCUCCAAUAUAUUUCUCAGUGAGUUAUUGAUUAGAACUCUUGGAUUGAGUUCCAAGAUUUGAAUCAGACCCCUCUAGCAGCUUCAGGGGUACGUAGCAACCUAUAGCAUAUUAAUGAAGACUUAGGAUUUAGACUUAGGAAUACAAAUUAAUAUGUACCUCAUGCUCUGACUAGCUUCCCUGCGUAUGCACAAAAUGGAGAUGACUCCCAAAAAAAUAGCAGAAUCGCCUUAGUAUGUUUUUGUGGUUAAGAUGAUUCUCCACUUUAUAUAUCCACAUUGGUUCAUUAUGCAAAUUAAUCAACUAAGCUAUUUUUAUUUUUUCUUAAAUGUGAAAUAGGAGCUCCAAAUUAACCUAACCAUUGGCCUGAUUGAAUUGAUUUCACUUGCAUAAUGUUAUAGUAGAAGUCCGUAAUUUGAAUUUUAUUUUUGCAAAAGGUAACGUAAAUGAAGCAUUGUAAUUAAAUUUAUUUGUAAUUACAAACUAAUUUUAUUUUAUUAAGAAUUAAUUUAAUUACUCAUUUAAAAUAAAAAUCAGUUAUACUUUUACCAAGAUGAUAAUAUUCAUAUUUUUCUAGUUAACAUAUAUAAAAUAGUACACUUUUUCAUAUAAAAAAAUAAUUUAUGAUUUAUUAUAAUGUUACUAUUCACAUUUUACUAAAUUGAUGGUACAUGAUAGUGAGAGAAGGGGGUGUCACACUCAGCUAAAGUUCUUUUCAAAAUAUUGCAUGGUGUUUAAUUUUAUGUGUCGGCGCGCGUGUGAAUGGAACCUGCAAAAGUCCAAAUUGGCGUUUCUCCAUUUUCCACAUAGGAUGGUGACGUUAAUAGACAAAGAUACAAUAUCUGUAGACAUUGCUUAAAAAUCGAUGUGAAGUAUUAGAAAUUACAGGGCACUGUACUGGGGGAGCGGCUGCCCCGCCAAAGGAGGAAGAAUGUAGCAAUUUCUUCUGUUAGCCAGGCCUUAGGAUUUAUGCAUGGGAUGCCUAAUAACAAACAGAGAAAAUAUACUUUUGGGGAAGGUAUCCAACAACAGACACCAUCAUUCAGAUGGUGGGAAGGUAUCCAACAGAUGCCAUCAUUCAGAUGGUAACAUAUAUAUACAUUUAUUAGUGAGUUUUUUUAAUACCUAUAAAAAAAAAUAUACACUUUGAUAUUGUGGCUGAAUCCAUUACAUACUCAACUAACCUUGCUCAUUAGGGAUUUGACUUAACAAGGGCAACGUUGCAGUACAAGCUCAAAACUUUAUGCAGGUGACAUUACAUUUGGUAAAGAAGAGGAAAAUAACGAAAGCCAUCCAUAAAAGCAAAAUUCCACAUGGGAUGAAAUUCACAAGCUUCAUUUACGAUAGAGUCGCAUCCAGGCAAUUAAUUCCACAUUAGACCGCCUGUUGACAUGUGUACCAAUCUUUUUUCAAAAAAUAUUUAUAAAUAAUUGAUACUCACAAAAAUAAUUUAAUAUUUAUAAAGGAUAAAAAAAUAUUUUCAAAUCUAUAACAAUUUAUAAAAUAUUAAUAAAAAAUUAUCUCUUAAACUUAGUAUAGUUUUAUCAGAUUAAACUUUUAUUUUGAACAAAUAAUUUUAAUCUAAGUUUUAAAUUCUAAAAUUAUUUCCUUAAAAUAAAAUUUUAAAAUUCAACACUUCAAUUGAAAUUGUCUUUUUAAAAAAUAUCUUCUUAUUUUAAUCCUUAUAAACUAUAGUUGAUUGAAAAUACUAUUGAAGUUCUCUCUUAAAAAAAAGUCUUAUUUUAAUCUUCAUAAAUUGCCCUUGAUUUGAAAAUAAAUUUUCAGUUAUCAUAUUUUAAAUAAUAUCUAUAUUUAAAAUACUCUAUUUAAAAAAAAAUGAACUAAUUUUAAUUAUAUUAUAUUUUAUUUUUUUAUAUAUUUUUAAUGAUAAACCAAACAUAGAAAAUCAUUUUUCUAAAUAUUUUAAAAUUUCUAAGCAACCAAACAUAAUCUUCAAAAUAAAAGGAAAAUAAGGAGGGACAUUUGAGAAAUGGCGAUUAAAAAAAAGUGUACAAAAGCUCAAUUAAUUUUCUUCUAGUCUUUUAUAUAAAAAAGUAAAGGAAUUGAAAAGUAUUGAUAUGUAAAUUAAUAUUUGGAUUUUAAUAGUAUUUUAUUUGUCUUUCUCUAUCUCAUGUAAAAGAGAAUUUAAGAUAUUUCCUAAAGCAAAGCAUUAGUUAUCUGCAAUCAGUGGUGAUCAUGCCCCAUGUCAAUUUCGGACCCAUAUCUUAAAACUGUAUAAUUUGCAUUCAAACAUUACUGAUUUCUCAGAUGUUUCAUACUCCACAGAAGAGCAUUGUUUGUGAAAGCAUGCAUUUAUGUUGGAUUUUGGAUGAUGUGGGAACUGGGGCAAGGAUCAUAUGGAAGAGUGGUCGAUUUUGUUCUGUACUUUAACAUUUGAAAUAGGAGAAGCUCGGGCAUUUGUGGGGCUUAAUUGAUUUUGAAGCCUGAAAUUGCGUUUCUGUCAUUUUGUAAAAAAUAUGGCAGAUUCCAUGCUCUCAUAUGUUUGGUCUGUGGCCAUGUAUAGAUGCCCCUUAGUGACCAGUUUGUAACUGUCAAUCAUAGUGUUUUGACUCUGGCUCAACAACAUCAGCCAUUGACGGAUUUUCAUACUUGCAAAUCAAAUAGUCUUCUUCCUCCCUUAGGAAUUUCGGUUUAAAUGUUAUUAAGCAUACAUUUGGCUGACAAUUAUUAACCACUUCAUGAUAUGGUUUCUUACCCUUAAUCAAUGGUUUCUAAGUGAAUAUAUGCAGAAGGAAAUCUGAACUGUAGACAGCAGUAUUGAUAACUCUCAAUAUUCUUUAUAUAAGAGAAUAAACAACGUCAUAGUGAUCGUCGCCUACAAGAAAGGUACAUUUCCCAACAAGAUGUAGUUGUGACUGGUACAUGGACGCAAUUAACUCGUACAAAAGAAUAAGACCAGUGCACGGCAGCUCUUAUUUUACAUGCUAAUUAUGCUAACCAAAGUCACUCAGUUGGGAUGGGAGGGAGAUGGAGGUUUGUGCGGUGGCUUGUGGGGCGGAGUUGGUGGCUUCUUUUCAGGAGCUUGUGGCUUUUUCGGAGCUGAAGGAGGCUCAAUCUUAUGAGGCGGCUUGUACGAGUCUUCUUUACUCUCGACAGGAGGGUGGCCAGGGUUGUGACCAUAAUGUGGUGGCUUCUCUCCCUUAGGUGGCUUGCCAACUGGGGUUGGUGGCUUGUGUUCAGGAAGUGGUUUCUCUCCCUUGGGAGGUUUACCAAUUGGGGUUGGUGGCUUGUGUUCUGGGAGUGGUUUCUCUCCCUUGGGAGGUUUAGUGGGUGACUUGUGUUCUGGAGGUGGCUUCUCCACCGGAGGCUUGUGCUCCGGUGGUGGCUUCUCCACCGGAGGCUUGUGCUCCGGUGGUGGCUUCUUGAUUGGAGGGGGCUUGGGGUAAUCAGCAAGAGAUGGGAUGGUGAGAACCACCACUCCAAGGAACAACACUAGCAAGUAUGUGGGAGACAUUUCUGAGUUUGAGCUGAUCAGAUGAUGCAAAACUAGAAGAAUUACGGGACCUUUUAUAGCAAGUAUCUCCCAAUACCCACAUGACACGUGUUACUAUGACCAUAAAUAUUAUAGGGUCCAUUUGUGCCCUACCGGGUUGAAAACUUGGACGCUUGGCCGAGGACACACCUGACUAUGGAGGACUAUUGACGUGUGAUCACAGCUUUUGGAUUUUUCUUCCUGUGCAGCUGUCUAGCGGUUGGCAUUAUUUUCUUAAUCUUAAAUAAAGGCAUAGUUAUAGAGUUGUUUAAUCUCUAAAUGGGAUUUUAUAUAUCUUCAGAUAGCCAUUAAUAUAUUUGAUGAAGAAAGACAAGUGCAUACAACAUGUAUACGGCUUGCUUCAAUCGAGUACAUUUAUGAUCAGUUUUCCUGUGCAAGUAAACCAGUUUUUUGUUCCACAACUAUUUUGGAAUCUUGUUUAUCAGUUUCUAUCAUUAUAAUGUCACAUAGGCUGCAAACUUGGGCACCCAAAGAUCUAGGUGGGCAAAUUUGUUUCAGACUUUCAAUGGUGGAUUCAGUAAUUGUUAAAAGGUGUUUCUUCAUUAAGGAAAGAGUCCGGUAAAAAUAUUGUUAAAAGGUGUCAUAGAAACUAUAAUAAAUAAAUAACUUCUUUUCCCCAUGGGUGGUGUUUCUUCUGGGGAUCAGUGACUGGUUAGGGUCACCCAAAAUGAGUCCAGAUUAAAAUUGGUUCGAGUCAAAGCAGUCUCUUUUGUCCAGAAAUCAACUAUUUUGCGCAUUGAAUGAAUCGAUAAAGAAAAAAUGAAAGCCAAAUCACACCUCCCCUGCAAAACCUAAACCCCGGUUGCUAACUUUCUAUGUUUCAGUCCUAUUCAUAUAGGAAUAUUGGUUCAAGUUUGAGAAAAAUGGCAACUUACCUAGGGUUUACUUGGUUUUGGUUUGCGACUAUUUACGCAACCAACCAUGAGUUUGACUUUAACGUCAUGGGUUGAAGCCUCCUACAAUCAUGUAUGAUAGUUCAAAGCUCGUGGAAGAAAUUAUACAGGAAGGAAGAAACCUCCAAAGCUAGCUCCAAAAGAGAAUUAUCACAUCGAUAGCUCCAGAGAUUCCCAAGGGAACUGAAUCAAAGACAAGUUCCUCACUUUUUCUUCUUUUGAGGCCAAAUAUGAACCAAGGAUCACACGACCUCAUUCAACUUCAUAAGUUUGAUUUCAUGCAGUUGAACACUGGGUGAAGGCCAUGACAAGAAUUGAUUAAAAAAUUCUACCACUCUUUUAAGUAAUGGAAGAUUAUUAUCUCUGAUUGGCACCACAACAGCACAUGCUGCUAGAUCUUUCUAGACACUCCAUGCAAUGAAAGCACAAUGGAUCUUGUAAUGAUAGAAACUAAGCCAUGCUACAGUACUAGAUGAGGGGGUAAAACUAGUAGACAUCUUUCUAGACACUCCAUGCAAUGAAAGCACAAUGGAUCUUGUAAUGAUAGAAACUAAGCCAUGCUACAGUACUAGAUGAGGUGGUAAAACUAGUAGACAUGGCUGGCAGUUGAUUACUACUCAAAAAGUACUCUUUUAUAGCUUGAAACUAACUGUUUUAAACACUUUUGAGUAGUAGUUAAUACCUUUUAACUUAAUUGGCACAUUAAGGAACCUAGCAAGGGUUACUAAUCAACAUUUGGCAAGUUUUGAUGUUUUUGGUAGCUAUUUGAUCAUUGAAACAAGCCAAGAAUGAGGGGGAAUUUUGUGAAGUCCAUGGCAAUGCAAGUUAAAGCUCAAAUACAUGAAGAAUCCAAGCUUUGGAGCACUUCAUAGCCCUUUGCCAAGCCAAUCAAAGAUGCAAGGAAGAAAACCAAAGGAAGAAAUCCAACAAUCAGCAUUUUGGCAUGGCUAUGUGAAAUUUCGCACACCAUGCGAAACCACAAGAGGCAGCCAAAGAAUUUCGCAUGGUAUGCGAAAUCUUCUUGUGCACUGACUCUGUUAGAUUUUUAUCUUCAGAUAUUUUGUGUAAUUUCCUAGUUUCUCCUUGUAACCAACUUAGAUAUUUUCUUUUAUAUCUUUUUUUAUAUUUUUUAGGUAACAUCAUAUAUAAGAGGAGAGACAUAAGGAGGAUAUGGAUGUUUUUCAUAGAACACUUGUAAAUUUUUGGUAGUAAGAAAUAUACAAAGCUUUUUGCUCUGCCUUACCUUCUCAAGGGAUGAGUGGCUAGGUUUUCUUGGAGUGAGGGAAGCUAGGUGAAGGACCUGAAUGCAAAGGUGGGAGUUUUCCUUACUUUAAAUGAAAGUAGUUGUUAAACAUUAAUGGUUUUUAUUUUAAGGUUUAGCUUUAAAUCCCUGAAAAACACCUUGAAUGGCCAAUACUUGGUAAGCUUUUUAGAUUCUAUGGAUGCUUAUUGCUAGAUCCAUGGAUGUCUAUUAGUUAUCAUUUACGAGCCAUUGGAAGGUGAUUCAAGGUGAGGGUCUUUAGUGUUUGAAGCCAUUAAUGGGAAGCAAUUACCAUUUUUUCAUGAAUCCUUUGGAUCAAAUCUUAAUUGCUAAAUAUAAAACCGGUUUCGAGAGAUAACCACCAUCCUUUAUGUUAUUAUCCCCAACGCGAGGAGAAGAUCCGAAAUCUUCCUUUUUAUCUAAGGAACCCGAUCCUAGUGACCUAAAGCUCCAAGAUACCUUUUCUUUGUAGUUAACUUCAUUUAUUGUUUUUGCUUAACUUAAAAUCAAUCUUUGCAACCACAAUUCCAUUUUCUUUAAAAGCUAAUUUUUAUAAGGAAAAACACCAUUUUAUUUCCUUCACUAAGUCAACUGUACGAUGAAAACCCAUCCCUGUGGACGAUCCUAGAGCCACUAUACUAUGUUAGCUAUGCUACCCUAGUGUGAGGUGAUUUAGGUUUUAUAAAUUUUUUUGAUAACACCCAUCUGAGCCAGAAUCAAAUGGCACGACUGAACCAGGGACGAAUCAAAUGACGCCGCUACCAAGGAUGGUGCCAAAGUACAUUGACAUGACUUUUGGUGAACACUUGUGAUCUUCACCACAAGUUUGGUGAUUUUUCUUUUACUAAUUUUUUUUAUUUUAGCUUAUCUUUUAUUUAGUUUUUAGUUAACCUUAAAUUUUUCCUAGAAUUGUAUUUCUUUUGUUUUCUUUGUUUUUGUUUCAGUGAUCUUUAGUUGUGCAUGCCCUAUUGGAUAAGAGAUAUUGAGGGAAUACUUGUGAAGAUUGAAACUCCUCGAGAAACUGAGUUAGAAGUGUGCUUGAACAUCAUGGAUGUUCCACCUGAAGACCAGAAUAGCCAACAUGGUUAAGAGGAUAAUUUCAACACAUACCGAUCCAUGAGGAACCGCAUACAUCCACCUUGUAUGAGUGCACCGUCAGGCAUAAUGCCUCCCACUGAGCAGCUAGUAAUCUGACCUCACAUUGUGCCACUCCUACCUACUUUCCAUGGGAUGGAGAGUGAGAAUCCCUACUCGCAUAUUAAGGAAUUCGAGGAGGUUUGUAAUACAUUCCAAGAAGGAGGAGCUUCAAUUGACUUGAUGAGGCUCAAGCUAUUUCCUUUCACUUUGAAGGAUAAGGCCAAGAUUUGGCUUAAUUCUUUAAGGCCAAGAAGUAUCCAAACUUGGAUUGAUUUGUAAGCCGAGUUUCUUAAGAAGUUCUUCCCUACCCAUAGGACCAAUGGUUUGAAAAGGCAAAAUUUGAACUUCUCAGUUAAAGAGAAUGAGAAAUUCUAUGAGUGUUGGGAGAGCUACAUGGAAGCUAUUAACGUUUGUCCUCACCAUGGCUUUGACACAUGGCUCUUAGUGAGCUAUUUUUACAAUGGUAUGUCUUCUUCAAUGAAGCAACUCCUAGAAACUAUGUGUGGAGGAGACUUCAUGAGUAAGAAUCCGGAGGAAGCCAUGGACUUUUUGAGUUAUGUGGCUGAAGUUUCAAGAGGAUGGGAUGAACCAAAUGCUAGAGAGGUGGGAAGAAUGAAGUCUCAACCUAAUGCUAAGGGUGAGAUGUAUGUUUUGAAUGAAGACAUUGACAUGAAAGCAAAGGUUGCAGCUAUGGCAAGGAGAUUGGAAGAGCUAGAAAUGAAGAACAUACAAAAAGUGCAAGCCAUUUCUGAGACAUCAAUGAAAGCUAUGCCUUGUUCCAUUUGUCAAUCUUAUAAGCACCUAGUGGAGGAGUGUCCUACAAUUCCAGCAGUGAGAGAGAUGUUUGGUGAUCAAGCAAAUGUUAUUGAUCAAUUCAAGCCUAAUAACAAUGCUUCAUAUGGCAACACCUACAAUUCAAAUUGGAGGAACCAUUCAAAUUUCUCUUGGAAACGAAAGCCACCUCAAUACACACAACCUACUCAAGCACCUUAGCAAUCCUCGAAUCUUGAACAAGCUAUUGUGAACCUUAGCAAGGUUGUGGGAGACUUUGUGGGAGAUCAGAAGUCCAUCAAUGCUCAACUGAAUCGGAGAAUUGACAGUGUGGAGAGUACAUUGAACAAAAGGAUGGAUGAGAUGUAAAAUGAUCUGUCUCAAAAGAUAGACAAUGUCCAAUACGUAAUCUCAAGGCUUACCAACCUCAACACAGUGUAAGAGAAAGGAAAGUUUCCUUCUCAACCUCAUCAAAAUCCUAAGGGUAUCCAUGAAGUAGAGGCUCAAGAGGGAGAAUCUUCAAAGGUGAGGGAAGUCAAAGUAGUUAUCACCUUGAAGAGUGGUAAAGAGGUUGAUCAACCCACAUCCAAGCCAAAGCAUAAUGAAGAGAGUGUAGCAGAAAAAGAAAAGAGAGGAAAAUAAAGGAAUUAGAAUAGAGAAAAAUACAAAGAAAGAUGACCAUGAGUCUAGUGUGGAUGAAGAGCCCGAGAGGAUGGUGAUCAAGGAAGAUAUGAUGAAGAAACACAUGCCUCCACCUUUCCCCUAAGCUUUGCAUGACAAAAAAAGAACCAAUAAUACAUCAGAAAAUUUUGAAGUAUUGAGGCAAGUGAAGGUCAAUAUCCCUUUGCUAGACAUGAUCAAACAAGUGUCGACAUAUGAAAAAUUCUUGAAGGACUUGUGCACUGUAAAGAGAGGGUUGAAUGUGAACAAGAAAGCUUUAUUGACCGAGCAAGUGAGUUCCAUCAUACAGUGCAAGUCCUAGUGAAGUACAAAGAUCCGGGUUGCCGUACCAUCUCAGUGAGUAUUGGAAGGACUUGUGUGGAGAAAGCUUUGUUGGACUUGGGAGCAAGUGUGAAUUUGCUAUCCUACUCUGUCUAUAAGCAGUUGGGAUUUGGAGAGUUGAAGCCAAUAUCCAUCACUCUAUCUCUAGCGGAUAGAUCAAUGAAGAUUCCAAGAGGGAUGAUCGAAGAUGUCCUGGUUCAAGUUAACAAAUUCUACUAUCCAGUAGAUUUUGUUGUUCUUGAUAUGGAUCCGGUUGUCAAAUGAACUAAUUAUGUUCCUAUCAUACUUGGAAGACCCUUCCUAGCUACAUCAAAUGCAAUCAUCAAUUGUAGGAAUGGAGUCAUGCAACUCACAUUUGUCAACAUGACAUUAGAGCUCAACAUCUUCCAUUUGUACAAGAAGCAUAUCCAUCAGGAGGAAAAAGAAGGUCUAGAGGAAGUGUGAAUGAUUGACACUUUAGUGGAAGAGCAUUGUGAUCGAGAAUGCAAAAAGAUUUAGUUGAGAAUUUUGGGGAUCUUGAUGAAAGGUUACUUGAACCCUCAGAUUUGCUUGCUACCCUACUCCAUUGGAAGAGAAGAGAAGAAAUUCUACCCUUAUUCAAUGAGGAGGAGACGCAAAGAGCUGCAAAGGAGAAACCCCCAAAACUUAUUCUUAAGCCACUACCCACAGAGUUGAAGUAUGUAUACUUGGAAGAAGACAAGAAGUGCCCUAUUGUUAUAUCUUCAACUCUUACCAUUCAUCAGGAGGAUUGUCUACUUGAAGUCCUUAGAAGAUGUAAGAAGACAAUAAGGUGGCUAAUUUCUUAUUUGAAAGGGAUCAGCCCUUUAGUCUGCACCCAUCAUAUUUACAUGGAGGAUGAAGCUAAGCUAAUUCAUCAACCUCAGAGAAGGUUGAACCCUCACAUGCAAGAGGUGGUUCGAGCUGAAGUUCUGAAGCUACUUCAGACCAGUAUUAUUUACCCCAUAUCAAAUAGCCCAUGGGUGAGUCCUACUCAAGUUGCGCCAAAGAAGUCUGGGAUCAUGGUGGUGCAAAAUGAUAAGGGAGAAGAUGUCUCUACACGCCUCACUACAGGUUGGAGGGUGUGUAUCAAUUACAGGAGGUUGAAUGCAGUGAUAAGAAAGGACCAUUUCUCAUUGCCCUUUAUUGAUCAGGUGCUUGAGAGGGUCUCUGGGCUUUUUUUUUUAUUGUUUCUUGGAUGGCUACUCCGGGUACUUUCAGAUAGAAAUUGAUGUUGAAAACCAAGAUAAGACCAUUUUCACAUGCCCAUUUGGAACCUAUGCAUAAAGGAGAAUGCCUUUCGGCUUAUGCAAUGCACCCGCAACUUUCCAAAGAUGCAUGUUAAGCAUUUUCAGUGAUAUGGUGGAGCGUAUUAUGGAAGUCUUUAUGGAUGAUAUCACCAUUUAUGGAAGUGCAUUUGAUGAAUGCUUGGUCAACUUAGAAGCUGUUCUGAACCGAUACAUUGAGAAAGACUUAGUGCUUAACUGGGAGAAGUGCCAUUUCAUGGUACACCAAGGGAUUGUCCUUGGGCACAUUAUCUCCAAGCAAGGCAUUGAAGUUGACAAAGCAAAGGUUGAACUCAUUGUUAAGUUGCCAUCCUCAACAAAUGUCAAAGGAGUAAGGCAAUUCUUUGGCCAUGUCGGGUUCUAUAGGAGGUUUAUCAAGGAUUUCUCUAAGCUUGCAAGGCCUCUUUGUGAAAUAUUGGUGAAUGAUGUUAAAUUCAUAUGGGAUGAUGGAUUUGAAAGGAGUUUUGAAGAAUUGAAGCUAUUUUUGACAACCGUACCAAUAGUGAGGGCUCCCAACUGGCAACUGCCCUUUGAAGUAAUGUGUGAUGUCAAUGAUUUUGCUAUAGGAUUUUUUCUUGGGCAAAGAGAAAAUGGAAAACCUUAUGUGAUCUACUAUGCGAGGAAGGCAUUGAAUGAGGCACAAAGAAACUACACAACCACCGAGAAAGAAUUGUUAGCUGUAGUUUUUGCCUUGGAUAAGUUUCGCGCUUACUUGGUGGGGUCCUUCAUCAUGGUUUUUACUGAUCACUUUGCUUUGAAGUAUCUGUUGACUAAGCAAGAUGCUAAAGCAAGGCUGAUUAGAUGGAUUCUCUUACUUCAAGAGUUCAAUCUCCAUAUCAAAGAUAAGAAAGGAGUGGAGAAUGUGGUAGCAGACCACAUUUCAAGGCUAGCUAUCGCACAUAAUUCCCAUGCUUUGCCCAUUAAUGACGAUUUUCUAGAGGGGUCUCUCAUGUUGGUGGAAGUUGUCCCUUGGUACGCUCACAUUGCUAACUACCUGGUCACGGGAAAAGUUCCAAGUGAGUGGAAAGCACAAGAUAAGAAGCACUUCUUUGCAAAAAUUCAUGCCUACUAUUGGGAAGAGCCAUUUCUAUUCAAGUAUUGUAUGGAUCAGAUAAUAAGGAAGUGCGUUCCUGAAGAAGAGCAACAGGGGAUCCUUAGUCAUUACCAUGAAAAUGCAUGUGGAGGCCACUUUGCUUAUCAAAAGACAGCCAUGAGGGUGUUGCAAUCGGGUUUCUGUUGGCCAUCACUUUUCAAAGAUGCCCACACCAUGUGCAAGAGUUGUGAUCGAUGCCAGAGGCUUGGGAAGUUGACACGCAGGAACAUGAUGCCUUUGAACCCCACUUUAAUAGUUGAUAUUUUUUAUGUUUGGGGCACUAACUUCAUGGGACCUUUCCCUAUGUCUUUUGGCUACUCUUACAUCUUGGUAGGAGUAGAUUAUGUUUCUAAGUGGGUUGAGGCAGUCCCAUGCAAACACAAUGACCAUAGAGUGGUUCUCAAGUUUCUUAAAGAGAAUAUCUUCUCAAGAUUUGGGGUGCCCAAAGCCAUAAUUAGUGAUGGGGGUACUCAUUUUUGCAACAAGCCUUUUGAAACUCUCCUAGCCAAGUAUGGGGUGAAGCAUAAGGUAGCUACACCUUACCACCCUCAAACUCAUGGACAAGUUGAGUUAGCAAACAGGGAGAUUAAAAACAUAUUGAUGAAGGUGGUGAACACAAACAGAAAAGAUUGGUCAGUCAAGCUUCUUAAUUCACUAUGGGCAUAUAGAACAACUUACAAGACCAUUCUCGGGAUGUCUCCUUAUCGCCUAGUUUAUGGCAAAGCAUGCCAUCUCCCUGUGGAAUUGGAAUACAAAGCUUGGUGGGCAAUCAAGAAGCUCAACAUGGAUUUGAGCAGAGCUGGGUUGAAGAGGUUCUUAGACCUUAAUGAGAUGGAGAAAUUGAGAAAUGAUGCCUACAUCAAUUCAAAAAUUGCAAAAGAAAAAUUGAAGAGGUGGCAUGAUCAGUUGAUUUCCCGCAAGGAUUUUCAAAAUGGACAAAGAGUCUUACUUUAUGACUCUAAACUCCACAUCUUUCCGGGCAAGCUGAAAUCAAGGUGGAUAGGUCAUUUUACCAUUCACCAAGUGCAUUCAAAUGGAGUAGUGGAACUACUCAACUCCAACAAUAUCGAGAACUUCAAAGUGAAUGGCCACCGUCUCAAGCCCUUUGUGGAGUCUUUUUCUCACAACAAGGAGAAAUUCAUCCUCCUUGAUCCACAUCAAGCUUAACAAGACCAAUUUUCUUGAUGGACUUAGUCUUUCUAAAGACUAUCGAGUCCAUAACUUUUUGUUUUAUUUUUUAUUUGAGAUUUUUUCGGUAUUGUUACUUGUUUUGUUUUUUAUUUUUCGUUUUAAUUUUAUUUGGUUUGAUUUAACUUAGGUUUUUGAUGAUCAAUUACAGGGGGGAUUUCAAAUAGAGGAAAAACCAAGAUAAUUCGCACACCCUACGAAAAUUUCGCAAGGCAUGCGAAAUUUAUGGCUUAUUUUGCAUGGGGUGAAAAUUUUCGUACAUCUUACGAACCAAUUUCGAACACUUUGCGAAAAUAAACCAACCCUGCGAAAUCAUUUCGAUUACUCUACGAAAUUUUCGUAGAGCAUGCGAAAAAUUUAGCACACCAAACACCAUUUCGCAUACUAUGCAAAAACCUAAGGGGUCUGCGAAACCAUUUCGCACCUCCAAAUCCAUUUCGCACAUUGUGCGAAAACCAAGAGGCGCUGUGCGAAAAUGAAAAGUCGCCCUGUCAUCCCUUUUUAAACCCCUCGAGCCCUAAAAUCUCCAUUUCGCAAGCACCCCUGUCCUUGCGAAUCCCUCAUUUUCCUCUACUACCUUGCAACCUCGUCCCUUUCCAUUUGAUAUUGUGCCCCGCGCACAUCUCAUUUCAGAGACUCGCACUCCGCGCCCCCUCAAAGCAUGGACUCGAGACCCACCUUCCAUUUCCGACGUGGCACGGACCCAAGGAGCCCUUUCUGCCCCUUCACUAAGACACACACCAAGGCAGAAAGCCUCCUUUGCUCAAGUGCCUAGUGAUUCUCCAUCUUAGGCCUCAGAGGCCUCGGAGGCCCCGUGGAUUCCACCUUCCGAGGGUAGAGCAGCCAUUGGUCCUUCCUCUUCUACUCCUUAGCGUAGAUACGAGACGAGGAGACCACCUACUACACAAGGGGCGACUACUUCGAGCCUUGAGAAUUCAGUACGAUGCCUUCCUGCCAAGAGGGUCAAGACUUCAGGUCCAAGUGAGUCAUCCAGAGCUUCAUAGCCUAAGCCUCCUGUAGAUUCCAAGGUUCCUACUGACAUAUCACCGGAGUCUAUUAUCAGAAGCCCGAUGCUCAUAGCACCGCCCAUUGAGGGCAACUCAGAUUAUAGAGCGAGAUCUUUCCACUUGGAGCUAUAUUUUGAUCAGGAGGCCAUACGACAGCAGCCUGAGCUCCGAGACUCUUAUGGCUUACUGCAGAGGUACCAUCUUGAGGAACUUAUGACUCCUCGUGAGUUUUUUUAUCCCAGAGUAGCACUAAACUUUUACCAGUCCAUGACUACUCGUGGCGUCCCGAGUCCUACCACGAUUCACUUCACCAUUGAUAGACGUCAUGGUAUCCUCAAGGCCAGACAUAUUACAGAGGCUCUACAAAUUCCUUUCGAGCUAGAGGAUCCAUCUGUUUUUCGCUAAUGGUCCCCAGUAUCUCAGAGGGACAUGGUCCGUAUUUUAUCUAGGGGAACAUCUACAGAUUCGAUCUUUCUACGGAAGGAGCUUCGACCUGGGAUGCUCCUCUUAGAUGUGGUGCUAUGCUCCAACCUCUUUCCCUUACAACAUUCGGUACAUAGGUGAUGAGCUAUUUUGGACGCUUUAUUCCGUAUAUCAGAGGGCUUCUACUUUGGCCCGCACCACUUGAUCAUGGUCUCCCUCAUCCACUUUGAGGAGAAGGUUCAUAGGAAGAAGCUUCAGAGGGUGGACACCAUUCCAUUACUAUUCCUGAGGUUACUUUGCCAGGUCUUGGAGUACAUGGGCUUUCCUACUGAGCCUCGGCUCGAGCUUUGCCGCCUUUGUCGAGAGUGAUCCACUCUCGACAAAUGGAAUUAGUUGGCGGGCUAUUCUGCACCUCCAGGAGCCCCUCCCAUGGUAGCACCUCCAAUGUCCCCACAGGCAAAGUAGGGCGAGCUCCCGGCAAAGACUGUACCACCAAUGCCCACACUUGAGGCUAUUUCUGCUGCUCUGCCUAUGACUCCUACUGUUCCACCAGUUGGUCCUUUUACAUCCGAGCCUUCCAUCACCAUCUCGGCUUCGGAGUUUCGCGCCCUUGUGCAUACCUUUCAGACACUCACCACCACACAUACUCCUCUCUUCUAGCAAAUGGUUGAGAUGUGUGCCCAUCAGGACCGGAAGACUACUAUACUCUGCCAAAUUCAGCAGCACCUAAGACUUUUGCCUCAACCUCAACCUAACCAUCCCAUAUCAUCAGAGCCUCUAGCUCCAACUGAGGAUACUAUUCCACCUGAGAACACUACCACAGUAGAGGUCCGGUUUCCACCACCUUAAGAGGCCACCACAGCUACAUCAGAGGAUGUGUCAUCUCCACUUGAGGCUCCCACUACUUGAUCAUAGGACAUAUCUUUAUCUUAUUGUAUUUACAUAUUAUAUUACUAGAGAUUUGUCCUUGUUUUGAUACUUUAUAUUCUGGGAUUGGAUGUAUUGCCUGAUGAUAUCUCAAUUGUACUUUCUCAUAUUAAUAUAUAGACAUCAAUUUUUUUUAGUAUACUUAGCAUUUUUCUAUUUCCUCUACUCAUUACUCUUUUGUUUUUUUUUACUCAUGUGGUUUCUCUUAUACAACUCAGACUCCAUUUCACUCAGGAGGUACCACUUCCUCCCUUUAUUUUCAAUUGCUCUUGAAAUAUUGAGUGCAAUGUUGAUCUUGGUUGGGGGGAGAGUUGAGGAAGGAAGUUUUGUUAAUAAUGCUAGGUUAAUUUGUUAAUUUAGUUACUUUCUGCUUAAUUUUAAAAGUUUUCACUCUACUUUCCAUGGUUAUUAAGGAAAAAUUCUCAAAAUGAAAUGGGAGAAAUCGAAUUCUUGCAUUUUUACUUGAAUCUUAGAAUUUGUAUCAUGCUUAUUAAAGUUGAUGAAUUAUUGAAACUCCUAUUGAAUUCAACCUUAUUUUUUCCACUUUAAUCUUACCACACACGGUGCACAUUAGGUUCCAGUUAUAAGAUAAAAAACUAUCUCACCCCCUAAACUUAGAAAAAUUUACACUUGGUACCUUUGACAUCGUUUUAAUAGUGUUGGGACACCUUAUAAAAGGCCAAUGAGCCUUUAAAAAAAAAAAAAAAAAAAAAAAGAGAAAGAACAAAGUAUUGCACUUGCCUUGAAACCUGAGCAAGAUCCGAGGGGUAUACAGUGAAAGUCUUUAAAACCUGGUGCCCUAAGCCUUGAUUGGUUGGGAGUCACCGACCUCAAUGCUCGUUAUAAGGGUGAAUAGGUGGAGUUUAACAUAUUGUAGGUGCUUGGGUAUUGAAUUUCAAUCUCAAAAGUCCGGGAAAAAAUCUAAGGAGUUAGUGGUCAAAAGAUCCUUAAAGCUUGAUGCCCUAAACCUUGAUUGGUUGAGAGUCAUUGAUGGAUCCCCGCUACAUGGACAUUUUAGAAAACAAUACCUUUAGCAUUGCACGCCUACAAUGAAAAAAAAAUGUGAAAUAAAAGAGGUGCGUUCUUAGCCUAUUGGAGGUUGGUCAGUUUGCUAAAGUUUGAGAAAUCUAGGUUGGGGGGAGAGAAUAGUCCGACAUACUAUAAUAAAAAACUAAUAACCUUAACACUUAGAUUUUUGUGGAAGAGUAAGGAUUGGACCUUUAGGGGUGGAAAUUCUUUUGAUGCUUAAAUUUGCAUAAUGCCUACUCUUUAUAAAUUAUGAUUAGGCAAGAGAUUUGAUGACUCUUGUUCAAAGUUGGGUUUUUCCUCUUUGAUGUUCCAUGAGAGAGUAUAAUCCUCAUCAUGCCACUUGAAAUCUUUUUGGAGUGAUUAACAUGAUUUUGUAAAUUAUUUUACUGUCUAUUUUUCUUUAUCUCUCUUUUAUUGCUAAUGGACUAGCAAUAUGUCAGUUGGGGGGAGUGAUUACUACUCAAAAAGUACUCUUUUAUAGCUUGAAACUAACUGUUUUAAACACUUUUGAGUAGGUGUUAAUACAUUUUAACUCAAUUGGCACAUUAAGGAACCUAACAAGGGUUACUAAUAAGUUUUUGGCAAGUUUUGGUGUUUUUGGUAGCUAUUUGAUCAUUGAAACAAGCCAAGAAUGAGGGAGAAUUUUGUGAAGUCCAUAGCAAUGCAAGUUAAAGCUCAAAUACAUGAAGAAUCCAAGCUUUGAAGCACUUCAUAGCCCUUUGCGAAGCCAAUCAGAGAUGCAAGGAAGAAAACCAGAGGAAAAAAUCCAACAACCAGCAUUUUCGCAUGGCUGUGCGAAAUUUUGCACACCAUGCGAAACCACAAGAAGUAGCCAAAGAAUUUUGCACACCAUGCGAAAUUUCGCAUGGUAUACGAAAUCUUCCUAUGCACCAACUCCGUUAUAUUUUUAUCUUCAGAUAUUUUGUGUAAUUUCCUAGUUUCUCCUUGUAACCAACCUAGAUAUUUUCUUUUAUAUCUUUUUUUUAUAUUUUUUAGGUAACAUCAUAUAUAGGGGGAGAGACAUAAGGAGGAUAUGGAUGUUUUUCAUAAAACACUUUUAAUUUUCUGGUAGUAAGAAAUAUACAAAGUUUUUUGCUCUGCCUUACCUUCUCAUUUUGUUUUCACCUAUCUUUCUAGCCAAACAACCUCUGAGAAUGAUUUCUCAGGGGAUGAGUAGUUAGGUUUUACGUUUCUUGGAGUGAGAGAAGCUAGGUGAAAGACCCAAAUGCUAAGGUGGGAGUUGUCCUUGCUUUAAAUGAAAGUAGUUGUUAAAUAUUAAUGGUUUUUAUUUUAAGGUUUAGCUUUAAAUCCCUUAAAAACACCUUGAAUGGCCAAUACUUGGUAAGCUUUUCGGAUUCUAUGGAUGCUUAUUGCUAGAUCCAUGGAUGUCAUUAGUUAUCAUUUAUGAGCCAUUGGAAGGUGGUUCAAGAUGAGAGUCUUUAGUGUUUGAAGCCAUUAAUGGGAAACAAUUACCAUUUUUUCAUGAAUCCUUUGGAUAAAAUCUUAAUUGCUAAAUAUAAAACUGGUUCGGGAGAUAACCAUCCUUUAUGUUAUUAUGCCCAAUGCAAGGAGAAGAUUUCGAAUCUUCUCAUUUGUCUAAGGAACCCGAUCCUAGUGACCUAAAGCUCCUAGAGACCUUUUCUUUGUAGUUAACUUCAUUUAUUGUUUUUGCUUAACUUAAAAUCAAUCUUUGCAACCACAAUUCCAUUUUCUUUAAAAGCUAAUUUUUAUAAGGAAAAGCACCAUUUUAUUUCCUUCACUAAGUCAACUGUAUGAUGAAAACCCAUCCCUGUGGACGAUCUUAGAGCCACUAUACUAUGUUAUCUAUGCUAUCCUAGUGUGAGGUGAUUUAGGUUUUAUAAAUUUUGUUGAUAACACCCGUCUGAGCCAGAAUCAAAUGGAACCACUGAACCAGGGACAAAUCAACAGCCUAUAUGGGAGGGACACAAGUUUAAUUGAUUUGCAUUUCAGCGUUAUAGAUAAGUAUGUUUUGGAAGAUUUGUUCUGGAAAUACUGCACCAAGUACGAUUCUUUUUCUCUUGAGUGAGUCCAUUUGCAUGCCAAUUAACGAGUUGAAAAGUAGGAGCACCUACCUCGUGCUCAUGGAACCGAAUGUCAGUGAAGUGGGGCUCCUUUUAGCCUCUUGUGUUUCUGUUCCAACCAAGGCGGCGUAGGGAAAAACAACAAUAUGUCUGUGCUAAAUAUCAACGCAUGAUAGAUGUUUUUUUUUUUUUUUUUGGUAUGUCAAGGCUAACGAAUGAAAUGCAUUAGCUUGUUUUGUGACUAUAACUGCAAAUGUCCAAAUUGGAGUAUCUCCAUUUCUCACUUCGGAUGGUUAACUUUAUAAACAAGAUAUAGGAAACAUGUGAACAUCUUGAGGAACAAUUCAAAUUAUUCAUUAGAAGUCCUGGGUUAAGUUCCAAGAUUUAAAUCAGACCCUUCUAGCAGCUUCAAGGGUACUUAGCAACCUAUAACAUAUUAAUGAAGAUUUAGGAUUUAGACUCCGGAAUACAAAUAAAUAUGUAUCUCAUGCUUUGACUAGCUUCCCUACAUAUGCAUAAAAUGGAGAUGACCCAAAAAAAAUAGCAGAAUCUAGCUUCCCUACAUAUGCACAAAAUGGAGAUGACCCAAAAAAUAGCAUAAUCGCCUUAGUUUCUGUGGUUAAGGUGAUUCUCCGCUUAAUAUCCACAUUGACUCAUUAUGCAAAAUCAACUGAGCUAAUUUUAUUUAUUUAUUUAAUGUCAAAUAGGAACUCCUAAUUAACUGAUUACUGUCGAAAAGUGCUAUUUUGUAGACCUAAUUAUAAGGGUUUUAAGCACCUUUGAGUAGUAAUCAUAUUCAUUUAACCUAAUUAAUUCAUUAAGCUCCUUAGUAAUUAGUUCUAACCAUUUUUAGUGGCAAGUUUACAUGUUUUUCAUCAGCUUAUGAACCAAUUCAAGCAUGCCAAUUGAUGGAGGAGCUACUUGGGCGAGUUAAGCAAGGAUUUUGGACGUUUACAGGCUUGAAUUUCAAGUGGAAACACGAGCACAAGCAAUGGGAACACCAUUUCGCAAGGGGAGGCAAUUCACCUUGCCAAAUGACCAAUUUCGCAAGGGGAUUUUCCUCAUGGUGCAAAAUUUGGUCAUUUCGCACCAUGAAGAAACCACCUUGCAAAAUUUCGCAAGGUGGAUUUAGGCACCUUGCGAAAUGCCAAAUUUCACAAGGUGGCUUUUCACCUUGCGAAAUUUGGACCUUUCAUCUUCCCCCCUUGCGAAAUGCCUUUGAAAUCCCCUGUUUUGAGACGCUGUUGAUGAUAUUCCACUGCCGGUUCUCCAAGAUAUUUUGCUUGACUUUUAGCUUUAUAAAUACCUAUUUUACCCUUGUAAUCAACCAAUGAAAAGGUUGCUUUUGUAAUAGCUCUUGUAAUUUAGCUUUUUAUUGUCUUUAAAUAGAGGUGAAGAGCCUCAGACACGAUCAUCUUGUAACCUGUAACUUUAUAAGUUAUAAGAGCACUUUUGUUCAUACGCUUCUUUUCUCUUUUCUUUCUCAUUUUCUUAGUAGCCAAACAUCCUUGGAGGAUGAAAUCCCCAAGGAUGAGAGGCUAAAACCUUUUAGUUUCUUGAAGUAAUGGAUGCCAUGUGAAGCUCCCGUGUCAGGAUGGAGAUUUCCAAGCCAUAAAUGUAAGUAGCUGAGCGUCAUAAAUGUUUUCAUUCAAAGUAAAGCUUUUAAUCCCUCUGACUUGCUUUGAAUGGCCAAUACUUGAUAACCUUUUGGUCUCAAUGGAUUCUUAUUGUUAGAUCCACUGACGUUCAUUAGUUAUCUCCUACGAGCCAUUGUAUUGCAAGUCGAGGAGAUGACCUAUACCAAUAAAAGAGCAUUUAUGAGGUUCAACUACCCUUUUUGUAAGUUUUCAAGGACUAAAACUCAGUUGUUAAACUCAUACCGGUUCGAGAAGUAAGCAUCACCUUAGUUGCUUCCCCAACUCGAGGUGAAAAGUCCCAAAAUCUCCAUUUUUACACAGUGAGUUAAGCAUGGCUAUCCAAAGCUUUAAGAAACUUCUUUUUCCAUCUUUUAACCUAUUUUCAUGUUAGUUUAGUUUACAACACCUUCAUCUUUUUAUGUUUUCAUCUUAACCUAAUUUUUAUUAAGAAAAGUUCACUCCAUCCUCCGAACUUCACCAGUUAAAGUAAAAACCCUUCCCAGUGUUCGAUCCUAGAGCCACUAUGCUAUAGUAGCUUUGCUACUUUAGUGUAAGGACCUUAGGUAUAAAUUUUGUUGAUACCCUUACAUGCCAAGCUACCAAGAGUCGGGUUAUCAUUAACCUAACCAUUGGCCUGUGUAAAUUGAUUUCACAUGCACAAUGUUGUAGUAGAAGUCCAUAUUUUGAAUUUUAUUUUUGUAAAGGUAAGGAAAAUGAAGCAUUGUGUAAUUAUAAAAAUAACUUCAUUGGAAUUCACAAGGUUCACCCAAAAUGGAGCUACAUCUGUAUUCUAUCCUACAGUAGACUAUAUAGAUUGUACAAUAGUAAAUUGCAAAUACAAUUAAUAAGUCUUGUGCUUCCUUACUAAUAAUCCUUUGACAUGAACAUUGCAGCACUAAGGUCCUCUUGGGAAGACACCUUGCACCCAUGAGAGCACUAAGAGGAAGCAAGGCAGAGUCAUGGGUGCAAUGUCAUGACUUGUUGUUGCACCAAGAGAGGCUUGGUGAUGCCAUGGUGUUGCAGUAGCAAGAAUGUUGCCUUGGCAGGGACACGAUCUAGGGAUAGAUGCCAAGAAAGGCUUAGCACUCACAUGAGUUGCACAAAGAUGAAUGUAAUAGAGCAUCAGAGAGACGUCUUGGCAAGUAAAUGAAUGGAUCCAAGAGACAACAACAUGAGGAGUUUCAAAUGGAUAAGGAAUGACUCAAAGACAUUUGAAAGCUACAAGUUGGAUUCUAAUUACGAUUGCAAUUUGAGUUUGAGUAGGAGUUUAGAUUUUGAUUGUAAUUGUAGUAUGAGUUGGACUAGGAUUGCUUAUCCUUAGUCAAUAUAGGAGCGGUUCGUGUCACCCUAUGAAAAGAGUUUGAGUAGGGACUAGGAUUGCUUACUCCUAGUCAAAUAUGGAGUAGGUGGUGCCACACCUAUAAAAAAAAGGGACAACAUGAGAGAGAGAGAGAGAGAGAAAGAGAGAGUGAAUUCACUAAAGAUAUUGUGGGAGUUUUGCUUUGUUACGUCUUGUAUUAUUACUUAGAAUAGGAAUAAAAUACAAGUUGGGGCUAGAGCCCCAUAAUUAAUCUCGUGUGCCUUUGUGGUUAUUCUUUAUUUGUCAUCUCGUGUGGAUUGGAUUAGGUUGACUUAGAGGGCUUCUAAGCACCACCUUUGUGGGUUAUUAUUUAUUUUCCAUCUCUUGUGGAUUAGAUUAGGUUGACUUAGAGGGCUUCUGAGCACCACCUUUGUGGGUUAUUAUUUAUUUUCCAUCUAUUGUGGAUUAGAUUAGGUUGACUUAGAGGGCUUUUAAGCACCACAUUUGUGGGUUAUUCUUUAUUUUCCAUAUCGUGUGGGUUGGAUUAGGUUGACAAGGAGAAAAAUUAUGUGGGAAAUUUGUGUUGGGACACUUACCAUAACCAAGUAAAAUCUACCAAGUCCUUUGUAAUAUCUUCAACAAAUAUUUUAGACUAGUUCUUUCAGUUAGUGUAAAGGAGGAAGAAGUGGUAUUGAUUCUAGAAAUAGGGUGUGUGUAUUUGAACUACAAUCCUUAUGAUCCUUAGGUCUCUAAACCUUCGUGAUGGGCUCCCUGACAUUUCAUAGGUUGUGCUACACAUGCGUUUGAAAUUUAGAGUGCGUUUGACAGUGAUUCCGGGAAGUGUUUUUGGCCUUUCUUACACUUGAAAAUUUUUAUUUUUCAAGUAUUAGAAAUGCUACAAACACUUUUGAAAAUUACUGUCAAACACACUCUUAGGAGCGCACAUAUAUAGUAGAAAACUAGAAAUUGUGGUUUUUUUAGGAUUUACUGUAAUGUCAUUAGGAGGGUAGUAAGUUGAAAUUGAGUAUGAACAAAUAUUUCUUUCUUUGGGAUGUUCUUCUAGUAGGUGCUGAUGAAACUGUUCUUUCUACUGCCAAUGUCACAUAUCAGCCAGAAAUUGAAAAUUUCAGUCAAGGUGUCCUCUGUUUUAGUGGUGAGGAAAGCUAGAAAUUUUAAGGUGAAGUUUUGUUAAAAACCUUAAGUAGCUGGGAUAUCAGGCCUGUUUUGCUUGAAAAAAAAAGUUGCAAGAUAACUCAUAUGCCAAACAGGUUCUGAUAUUGUGAAUCUAUCGGCAGACAUCAGUAAUCUCAUCUUCUGAGAUGGAUGUUGGGGGUGCAUGUGGUGGUGGAGGGGCAAGGUUUCAUUUGGUUUAUUUUGUUGAUGGAUAUUGUCUAGCCACCUGCGCCAAGUUUGAGGGGUGGUGGGUUGUGAUGACCCUACAAUUACUAUUAAUUUCUUCAUCUUUUACCGAUUAAAGUGUCCGAACAGUCGAAGUUACCCUUAUGCAUGUCAACUUGAUCACUUACCUCUUCAAUGGAGUUUAUGCUGGUUCAUUUAGGAACUGAUUUUUAUUGUUAUGUAUUAUAUGCUGAUGUUUAGGUCUCUCCAUCAUCACUAUAUACAAAAAUUCUAGGUUGAUACUAUAGGUUGAGAUUUAUUUUUUAAAUAAAAAAUAAUAAAAAUAAAAAUUAUGGUGAUGUUUAGUUGUUUUAUGGAAAAUUUUAACAAGUAAAAGUUAUUUUUGGGCAAGUUUUCAAACAAAAAGAAAAGUAAAAGUUGUUUUGACAAAAACAUAUAGAAAAAAAAAUCAUAGAAAAUAAAUAAUUUCCCCAUAUUCUAACUUUUUUGAAUUUUUCUCAAUGGGCAAAGGAAUAUCAAAUCAAGUUUGAGUAGGAUUUCUUAAUUUUUAAAAUAACUUACAAUUAAAAAAUUUUGGUGUUUUCAUUUUUGGACAAUUUUUUAUUAAGCAAAUGGACUCUGAGUCAUGCAAGAGAUAUGGUUCAUUAACCGGUCGAACAAUUUUUUUAAAUUAAUUUAAAAGUCAAAUACAUAAUCAAUUUCACAAAAUUUAUAAACAAAAAUAGGUUUAGAGAAGAUCUACACAUAAUUUUACUUUUCUAAUUUUAUUUUAUUUUAUUUUUUGUUGGAAAAUAGUCUUCAAAUCAUGUAAGAUUUAAUAGGUUAAAUUUGUUAACAAUAAAUUUUAAAUUAUAAAAUAUAAUCUGGAACUCAAAAAUCAAUUCAAGUAAUGCUAAAAAAAAAUCAAAUUUGGUAUAGAAUGACUUUGUAAAUUUUUUUACAAAACAAAUGAAUUUUAAAUCAAGUGAGAUUUAAUGCAUUAGAUUUUUAUCAAAUAUAGUAAUUUUAAAAAUAAAUUUGGAACUCAACAAUAGACACAAUAAAUACCAAAAAAUAAUGAACCAAAAUUGGUUUGGAAUAACUCCACAACCUUUUUUUUUUUUUUUUGGUGCACACGAAUUUUCUUACUAGGUAUAUUGCUUUCAAAUUGAGAAAGAUUUACCAUUUAGAUUUUUUUUUAAUGAGUUUAAUGGUAUUUUAAAAUAAUUCAAAAUUUAAAAAAUUGACUAAUUAAUAUUAUAAAUUGAUAAACCAAGACUAUUUCAAAAUGCAUUGGGGGCUAAGGGGGUUGAAAAUAGGGACAAUGGGAUGGGUUUGGGACAUGACACUCAUAUCUCAUUUCCAUUCCAAUUACACAGUUAUCUCCCAUCCUUAUCCCAAACUUGUGUUGGAGCAAGUUGAUUUGUUCCCAUCUUUGUUGACGAAAUGACUAAUAACCUCAUCCCCUCCUUAUCUUAGAUGUACAUUUUGUCAAAUUUGAUCAGGUAUGAUUGAUCCAAGCCCUAACCCUAAUUGGUAAUGAGUGAAUACUACACCUAAUUGCAUUCUUCUUUCAUUGCAAAAUAAUGAGAUUAUAAUAAUCUAGCAAAUAAGAAAAAAUAGUAUGGAAGUUCAAAUUAACACCAUAACUAUCAAUAAUUUUAAGCUUAUAGAUGACUUAAAUGAUUAAAAACUAAUGCAAAAUCCUAAAAAAAAUAAAAAUCAUAUAAAGAAUUCACAAGAGAACAGAAUGAACAAAAACCAAAUAUGAACAUGGGUCAACAUUAGUUAUGGAUUUGGAUUCCUUUCAAGGCCAAUCUUUGAACCAAGACUUCAUCAAAUCAACUACUUCAAAGGCUUUUGUGUUCUUCUUGGGUUGUGCUCUCAAACAAAGACUUCGAGGUGAUGUUCUAGAUGAUUGAAUUACACAUAUUUAGGGUGGAGAGAUUGGAGAAGCUUGAAGAUGCCAACGAUGGGUACAAUUGAGUGGUCAAUAAGAACAAUGUAGCCUAUGACUAGUUUGAUGUCAUGGUACAAGAGUUUUAGGCAUUGAGGUUAAAGCAAGAGCAACAUGGAAUUGAUUUCGGAGUCUUUCAGUUAGUGUAAAGGAGGAAGAAGUGGUGUUGAUUCUAGAAAUAGGGUUUUAAGUGGUGCGUGAUUACUACUCAAAAAGUGCUAUUUGAUAGCCUUUAAUUAAUCCUUUUUAACACUUUUGAGUAGUAGUUUAGGCCUUUUAACUCAAUUGGCAUGUUAAGGAUCCUUUAAAGCAAUUUUGAUCACUUUGUGCAAGUUUUGGUGUUUUUGUUAGUAUUUUGAUCACCAAAGCAAGUCAAGAAUGAGGAGAACUAUGAGGAAUCAUGGGCAAAGCUUAGAAUUCAAUUGCCAAGAGUGAAUCCGGAUUGCAAGGAGAAAAAGCAAAGAGAAUCUGUCAUGAAGCCUAUUCUUGAUGACAGUCGUAGCAGCCACUUUUGGAGCACUUUCUGAAGUCCAAAUGAUGCAAGCUAUAUACCAUUUCAAAGAUCAGGAAGUCAACAAUCCAAUGCUUCAAACGGUGCGCGAUUCGGAGUUGAAACGAAGAAGUUGCAGCCAUUACAAGCCAGUCACUCUAAAGUGUUGCGGAAUCAGCCUUUUGUUGCGAGAAUUUCGCAGCACUUUUGUACAGUAAGGUGUUUCUCCUUCUGACGAUGCACGAACCAUGCCGCGAGAGGGAAGCUAGGAACUUCAAGAUGGAAGCCAACUUUGCAGCCUGGUGAAGAUAGCUUGGUCUUGCGAAAUAAUUUCGCAGCCCUCUUGGGUGUCUGCGAAAUUUCGCAGGCACCACUUUUUUCCUGCGAAAUGGCUCCGGAAGCCUCCCGAAGCUUGCUACCGACAUUGGGAGAUAUUUUCCAUUAGAUUUUUGUUGUCUAAAUUCCAAAAUACUCCUUGUAAACCACCAAUUACAUGAUUCCUUAGUUUUUAAGUUAGUAAAAAGACCAAAUAUCUAUGUAAUAAUUAGUUUUAUAUUAGUUUGCUAUAAAUACCUCUCGGGAGCAUGUUCUCAGAGAGGAGUUCCUUCUGUAACCAUUUUGGUAAGCAAGUAAAGUCUUUUCUUUCUACUGCCUUACCUUCUCACUUUGUAUUUUCAUUUUAUUUCUAAGUUAUGAAUUCUCUGAGGAGCUUUCCCCAGAGAAUGAGUAACUAAACCUCCAAUUCCUUGGAGCUAAGGUUGCCGGGGAAGGUUCCAAGUGCAAGAAUGCAAAGCUCUGUGGUUUUAGCUAGUAAUGAAGAGGAAGUGAAAUCCUUUAGUGAUUUCAAUGUUUUUAGUUAACUUAAAACACCUUGGAGUCACCUGGGCCAACACUUGGUAAGGCAAGUGAUUUCCAACCGUGGAAAUGCACUAGUUUACCCCUUGCGAGCCUCUGGUAGGUGACUUCAAGGUAGGAUUUUCUGGAAUUACCAACACUUGGUAAGCUUUUGGACUCCUAGGAGACAUCCAUUAGUUAUCUCUUGCGAGUUUGUGAAGGGGAAUCCAAGGUUAAAGAUCACCUUGAAUGGUAAGUGCUCGUGAGAGGCAUGAACCAUUGCAAGUUGUAUCAGUGAGAGAAUUAAAGUGAAAUCUAAUUGAAGGAGUCUCUGUACAUCACCGGUUAGAGAAUUGACUAUAAGUUGAAUCUCUAAUGCGAGGAAAUGAACCAUCUGACCGGAGCUAUGUCUUUUGCAUGAGGAACCACCCCAGUGAACCUAAAUCUCCAAGGAAUGCUUUUCUUCCUAAAUUAUUCCAAACUUCUGUUAAGUUAGUUAGUUUAAGUCUAAACCUUUACCAAUCAAACUUUGUGUUUUAUUUCUUAAGCUAACCGUGAAAUGAAACAAAACCAAUUCACUUGGAAUUGGUAUCCUUGAUUGCUUGCAAAUCAUUCCCAGUGAACGAUCCUUAGAGCCACUAUACUAUAGUAGCUUUGUAUUUGCUACCCUAGUGUAUGGUGUUAUAGGUAUAAAUUUUGUUGAUCACUUCCUCAAUCAAGGAACACCAGCUGAACACAAAUCAGCUGAGACACCAAUUGGGCAUGAGUCAAAUGGCGCCGUUGCCGGGGAAUGAGUGUCAAGAUCAUUGUGAUACCAUUUUUGAGCACUUGUGAUUUUCAUCACAAGUUGGUAAAGUUUCUUUCACUUUACUAAUUUUCAUUCUCUCUUUGUUUAUUUACAAUCUAAGUUUAUCUUUUUAAAAUUUAGUCUAGUUUAAUUUUGCUAUUGUAGCCUUGUUUCUCUUGUUGUCCUCUGUUCUUGUUGUCCUCUGUUUUCAUUUUAGUUGCAGCUGAAUACUAGUUGUGUAUGCCAAAGUGGAUACGAGACAUUGGAGGUAGGCUUAUUAAGUGUGAUACACCUCAGAGAGGAGAAUUGGAAGUAAUCUUGAAUAUCAUGGAGGCUGCACCUGAAGAUCAGCAUAGUCACCAAGGUCGUCAAGACAAUCUCAAUGAAUUCAGAUCAAUGAGGGACCGUAUGCAUCCACCUCGUAUGAGUGCACCAUCAUGUAUAGUGCCCCCUACAGAGCAACUAGUGAUCAGACCAUAUCUUGUUCCACUUCUACCAACUUUCCAUGGGAUGGAAAGUGAGAAUCCGUAUGCACACAUCAAGGAAUUUGAAGAUGUUUGUAAUACAUUCCAAGAGGGAGGAGCUUCAAUUGAUUUGAUGAGGCUUAAGUUAUUUCCUUUUAAUUUAAAGGAUAAGGCCAAAAUUUGGCUUAAUUCUUUAAGGCCAAGGAGUAUCCGCUCUUGGACUGAUUUACAAGCUGAAUUCCUCAAGAAAUUUUUUCCUACUCAUAGAACAAAUGGCUUGAAAAGGCAAAUUUCAAACUUCUCAGCUAAAGAGAAUGAGAAAUUCUAUGAGUGUUGGGAAAGAUACAUGGAAGCUAUAAAUGCUUGUCCUCACCAUGGCUUUGAUACUUGGCUACUGGUGAGUUAUUUUUAUGAUGGUAUGUCCUCCUCAAUGAAGCAACUCCUCGAGAAAAUGUGUGGAGAAGAUUUCAUGAGCAAAAAUCCAGAGGAAGCUAUGGAUUUCUUGAGCUAUGUAGCUGAUGUUUCAAGGGGAUGGGAUGAACCAACUAAAGGAGAAGUGGGAAAGAUGAAGUCUCAGUUGAAUGCUUACAAUGCAAAGGCUGGGAUGUAUACUUUAAAAGAGGAUGAUGACAUGAAAGCAAAGUUGGCAGCUAUGACAAGAAGAUUGGAGGAGCUGGAGCUGAAAAGAAUGCAUGAAGUGCAAGCUGUUGCUGAAGCACCAGUGCAAGUGAAGUUGUGUCCCAAUUGUCAAUCGUUUGAACAUUUGGUAGAGGAAUGCCCUGCAAUUUCAGCUGAAAGGGAAAUGUAUAGAGAUCAAGCAAAUGUUGUUGGACAAUUCAGGCCCAAUAACAAUGCUCCUUAUGGAAAUACCUACAAUUCAAGUUGGAGGAAUCAUCCAAAUUUUUCAUGGAAGGCCAGAGCAACUCAAUACCAACAGCCGGAUCCACCAUCUCAACAAUCUUCAAGUAUUGAACAAAUAAUAGCUAAUCUCAGCAAGGUAGUGGGAGAUUUUGUGGGAAAGCAAGAAGCCACCAAUGCUCGAGUGGAUCAAAGAAUGGACAGAGUGGAUCAAAGAAUGGACAGAAUGGAGAGUAUGUUGAACAAAAGAAUGGAUGGAAUGCAAAAUGAUAUGAAUCAAAAAUUUGAUAACAUCCAAUAUUCAAUUUCAAGGCUUACAAAUUUGAAUACACUGCAAGAAAAGGGAAGAUUUCCUUCUCAACCUAACCAAAAUCCCAAAGGUGUCCAUGAAGUGGAAAGCCAUGAGGGAGAAUCAUCACAGGUGAAAGAUGUGAAAGCUUUGAUCACUCUAAGGAGUGGUAAGAAAAUUGAGCAGCCAACACCCAAGCCACAUGUUGAGAAAGAAGAAGAGAUGAAGAAAGGGAAGGAAAUGGAAGAUAAAGGCAGUGAGAUCAGUGAAGAAAAGAAGGACUCUGAUGCAACAAUGAAAGUAAUUCCAGAGAAGGAGCUUCUGAAGGAAGAAAUGCUGAAGAAAUCAACUUUUCCACCUUUUCCUCAAGCAUUACAGGGGAAAAAGGGGGUUAGAAAUGCAGCUGAAAUCCUAGAAGUAUUGAGGCAAGUGAAAGUUAAUAUUCCACUGCUGGAUAUGAUCAAACAAGUUCCAACGUAUGCAAAAUUCCUAAAGGACUUGUGUACUAUCAAAAGAGGGUUGACUGUAAACAAGAAAGCCUUCUUGACUGAGCAAGUAAGUGCAAUCUUACAGUGUAAGUCUCCUUUGAAGUACAAAGACCCUGGAAGUCCUACCAUUUCAGUCAUGAUUGGAGGAAAGGUAGUGGAGAAAGCCUUGCUAGACUUGGGAGCAAGUGUGAAUUUGCUUCCAUAUUCUGUCUACAAGCAACUGGGACUUGGAGAGUUGAAGCCAACAGCAAUCACUUUGUCUCUGGCAGAUAGAUCAGUGAAAAUUCCAAGAGGGGUAAUUGAGGAUGUAUUGGUUCAAGUAGAUAAUUUCUACUAUCCUGUAGAUUUUGUUGUUCUUGAUACAGAUCCUACUGUAAAGGAAGCUAAUUUAGUUCCUAUCAUCCUUGGAAGGCCAUUUCUUGCAACUUCAAAUGCAAUCAUCAACUGUAGAAAUGGGCUUAUGCAACUCACUUUUGGUAACAUGACACUGGAUCUAAAUAUUUUCUAUAUGUCUAAAAAGCAAAUCACUCCAGAAGAAGAAGAGGGUCCAGAAGAGCUAUGUAUUAUUGAUACUUUGGUGGAGGAGCACUGCAAUCAACAUAUGCAAGAUAAGUUGAAUGAAAGUUUUGUGGAUAUUGAGGAAGGUUUUUCUGAAUCUCCUAAUGGGCUUGCUACUCUACAAAGUUGGAGAAAGAUAGAAGGAAUUCUACCUUUGUUCAAUGAAGAAGAGGAGGCAGCUGUUGAAAAAGAAAUUCCAAAACUCAAUCUGAAGCCUUUACCUAUGGAGCUGAAAUAUACAUAUCUUGAAGAAAAUAAUCAAUGUCCUGUCGUAAUAUCUUCAUCUCAAACCAAGUCUCAAGUGAAGGAUGCAAGCUUCAAAUGGGAUCCGGGCAAACUGAAUCAGGAAGGGCAAAAAGUUUUGAUGUAUGACACAAGACUCCAUAUCUUUCCUGGGAAGCUCAAGUCAAGGUGGAUUGGUCCAUUUGUUAUUCACCGAGUAUAUUCCAAUGGAGUGGUGGACUUAUUGAAUUCCAAUGGCAAGGACAGCUUUAGAGUCAAUGGAUAUCGUCUUAAGCCGUUCAUGGAGUCAUUCAAAUCAGAAAAGGAGGCAAUCAACCUCCUUGAACCUCAAAAAGCCUAAGUGAAAUGGGUUUGCUGGACGUGGUUUUACCACAGUCCAAAAAUUUUUGUAAAUUUUGUAAAUUUUCAAGUUGUUUCCAUGCUUUUAAUCUUAGUUUUUGAUUUUAAAUCAUGUUUUUAGGUGUGUUUUAAUCGUUUUAUAUGAUCCCAGGCGGAAGAAAUUUCAAGGGGAUUGAAAAGAAAAAAAUCGGGUCGAAAUUGGAGCCGAAACAGAGCAAAAACAGGGGAAAAACAGAGCUCUGCGAAAUUUCGCAGGGUGAAGGAAACUUCUGCGAAAUUGGCAUUUUGCUGCCAAACCAUUCCGCAGCACUGUAGAAGCCUCUGCGAGUGUAUUUCGCAAUUGCGAAAGUGGAUUUGGCACACGAGUGCCACUUCGCAGCACAGUGACAUCAAUUUCGCAGCUGCGAAACUCACUGCGAAGUUGCUGCGAAAAUGGCAAGUUGCUGCGAAAUUGGCGUUUUGUUGCGAAACGUAAUCUGACCCCUGGGCUUCCGUUUUUCCUAUUUAUACCUGUCAAAAGUGCUGCGAAAAAGGUUUCAAAAAUUAGAGCACCAUUCUCGCAGCCCUUUCAUCUUCUUCGCCAAGCCACGCCGUCCGUUUCUCCGGUCGUCUUCUCCGUUUAGCAGCGCCGGCCAAAGAUCGAUAGCCCAAAAAUGGCACGAACGCGAGGGGCAAAGUCUUCAUCCCCUUCGAACCGCAAAAGGAGUCUGCGAAAGGAGCCAAGUUCAGGCUCUGUUCCAGAACCUGCUCCAAAGCCUUCGCCGUCGAGACCACAACCUUCUCCAGUGAAGCCGGCGCCACCAAAGCCGCCGGCAAGGCGAUAUUUAACCAGGUCAGGUGGUCAGCCAUUGAAGAAGAAAGCCAGAGUUGAGAGCUCUGAACCAAUCGAUUUGACUGAGCAAUCCCCUGAGAAAUCACCAAAUCCUUCACCGGUACAAAUUCCAGUGCCAUCACCGGUUCCCUCGCCAAUUCCCUCACCAGAAGCAACUCCAAUUCCAUCGCCGGUACCAUCUCCGGCACCCCAAGAAAAAGCUCAGGAGCCUCAAGCGCCAAUUCCAGAGCCCCAAAUUGCAGCUGAAGCACCUCUGGAAGAAGUGAUCCGAAGGCCAAUGCUGCCUCAGCCCCCAAUCGAAGGAAACCUGGAUUGCCGAACUCGGGCAUUCCAUUCUGAGCUUUGCUUCGAUUUAACAGCAUUCAGAGUGAGGCCAGAGCUUGCCCAAUCCUUCCAACUGCUGAGGAGAUAUCAUAUGGAGCAUCUGCUAGCUCCAAGGGAUUUUUUCUAUCCCCGGGUAGUCACGGAUUUCUACCAAACCAUGACAACCAAAGAAGUAAGAAAUCCAACUCUGAUUCAUUUCAUAAUUGAUGGAAGGCAUGGUAUUUUGGGAGCAAGACAUAUUGCUGAAGCCCUGCAAAUUCCUUUUGAGCCAACUCAAUUCGACAAUUUUAAAGCUUGGACAAAUCCUACUGAGUUAGAGAUGGUUAGCACACUAACCAGAGGAGCUGCAAAUCGAUCGCAUUUGUUGAGGGGGGAGCUACCUCCAGUUAUGUUUUUGAUUGAUGCCUUUUUGAGGCAUAAUAUCUAUCCCCUGCAGCAUUGGACCCAAAGAAGGGGAAUUCUCCUAGAAGCCUUGUACAAAAUGUCUGAAGGAUUCUUCUUUGGGCCUCAUCAUCUGAUCAUGGCAGCCCUUCUAUACUUUGAGGAGAAGGUUCACAAGAAGAAGCUUCAAAGAGCAGAUUGCAUUCCACUCCUCUUCCCAAGGCUGCUAUGCCAAGUUUUGGAGCAUCUCGGAUACCCCUCUGAGCCUCAGCAGGAAAGAAAGAGAAUAUGCCGUGAGCCUUUUACCCUUGAUAAAUGGAAUAAUAUGACGGCCUACAAAAUUGAUCAGCCUGGGCAGCCUCAGCCAGCAGCAAGGAGAGUCUCCCCAAGACAUAUACCUGAAGGUAUAACACUUGCUACUCCUGCCAUCCCUCGAGCUCCACCAGCUGCACCUGCUCCAUCACAGCCAUCCACAUCAGCUGAGCCGAGGAUGGCCAUCCCUAUAUCCGAAUAUCGAGAGCUGUGCCGUGCAUUGGAGACUCUUACAGCUUCUCAGAGCAAUCUUGCUCAGGAGUUGGCAGCCAUUAAAGCAUGCCAGGAGCAGAUGUUAGCCUCUCAGACUCAACAAGCUGCCAUCCUAAGGCAGCUUCAAGUCCAUUUCGAUCUGCCACAAGCUGUAGAGCCCUCUAUUCCUACUCCACCAGAGCCACACUCUCAGCCUUCAGAGUCUCAUCCUCCAGAACCCGAAGCACCAGCUGAUCCACCUACUGAGGAGGCAGAUCCUUCUGCCUAGCACCAUCACCCCCCUCAUCAGACAUUAUAUAUAUAUUUGCUGUUUAUGUUUUUAUGCAUGUUUGUUUUGUUUUAGUUGAAAAGAAAUCCCAGUAUUUUGGUACUAUAUAUGGGAUUCCUUGUGUUACUUGUCUUUAGUAUUGUAAUCACAUGAACUCAAAGUAAUACAAGUUGACUAUUUCUUGUUAAAAGUUAGCAUUAAAGUUUCCUUAUUUCCUUUUCUCACAUAUUCUAUUCUUUUUGAAACAUGUGGUUUUCCCCAAUCAAUAUUCGAAUUUGAUAUCAGCAUGGAGGUACCACUUCCUCCCUUUUAUUACAGUCACUCAAAUCACAUUGAGGACAAUGCUCAGUUCGGUUGGGGGGUAUGAGGAAGGAAGUAUUCUAAACCUUUUUGGUAUUGCAAUUAUAUUGGUUAAUUAGUUGUAGAUUUUACUUUUUACUAGUGUUACUCUAUUCUCCAUGAAUUUUGAGGAAAAAUUUUCAAAUUAAACCAAGAGAAAUUGAACUGUUGUUUUUCACUUGACUUAGAGUAUGGAUUAUGCUUACUAAAGUGGUUCAAUUGUUGAAACUUCUACUGAAAUUGAAUUGAGUUCUUCCACUUUAAGCUAUCCACACACUGUGCACAUUAGUUUCCGAUUAUAAGAUGAAAAGCUAUUUCCCUCUUGACUUAGUAUAUUUUUGGGACUUGGUAUAUUUGACCUCAUUUGAUAAAAAUUGAAACACCCUGCAAAAGGCCAAUGAGCCUUUGAAAUAAAGAAAGUUGUUUGCUUGCCUUGAAACCCGAGCAAGGUCUGAGGGGUAUAUGGUGAAAAUCUUUAAAGCCUGGUGCCCUAAGCCUUAAUUGGUUGGGAGUCACCGACCUCAAUGCUCGUUACAAGGGUGAAUAGGUAGAGUUAGCAUAUGGUAGAUGCUUGGGUAUUAGAAAUUCAUUCUUAAAAGUCCGGGGAAAAAUCCGAGGAGUUAGUGGUUGAAAGAUCCUUAAAACUUGGUGCCCUAAACCUUAAUUGGUUGGGAGUCAUCGAUGGACCCCCAUUACAUGGACAAGUCAGAAAGAGUACCCCAUAAAGCUACCUUAAAAAAAAAAAAAAAAAAAAAAAAAAAAAAAAAGAUGAAAGUGUGUUCUUUUCUUAUUGAUUUUGGUCAGUUUGCUAAAGUGUUGAAAAGAGAUAGGUUGGGGGGUGAGAUUAGUAGCAUAUUAUUCUCGGAACCUAAGGAACCAAUACACAUAGAUUUUUGUGGAAGAUUGAAGUUUAGUUCUUAGAAAAUGAAAUGAUUUUAAAACUUCAGUUUGCAUAAUGCACUCCCUUGAUUGACAGUGUUUAGCAUAGGUGUUAUGACUCUUGUUGAGAUUUGGGUUUGUAUUUCUUUAAUGAUUCAUGUGAGAAAUAGAUCAUCAUGCCACUUGAGAAUUAUUUUCCUUUUAGCAUGAUGUUGUAAAUUUUAGAUUAGUUUGCUAUUUAUUUUUUAUUUUCUCUCCUAUAUUGCUAAGGGACUAGCAAUAUGUCGGUUGGGGGGAGUGAUUACUACUCAAAAAGUGCUAUUUGAUAGCCUUUAAUUAAUCCUUUUUAACACUUUUGAGUAGUAGUUUAGGCCUUUUAACUCAAUUGGCAUGUUAAGGAUCCUUUAAAGCAAUUUUGAUCACUUUGUGCAAGUUUUGGUGUUUUUGUUAGUAUUUUGAUCACCAAAGCAAGUCAAGAAUGAGGAGAACUAUGAGGAAUCAUGGGCAAAGCUUAGAAUUCAAUUGCCAAGAGUGAAUCCGGAUUGCAAGGAGAAAAAGCAAAGAGAAUCUGUCAUGAAGCCUAUUCUUGAUGACAGUCGUAGCAGCCACUUUUGGAGCACUUUCUGAAGUCCAAAUGAUGCAAGCUAUAUACCAUUUCAAAGCUCAGGAAGUCAACAAUCCAAUGCUUCAAACGGUGCGCGAUUCGGAGUUGAAACGAAGAAGUUGCAGCCAUUACAAGCCAGUCACUCUAAAGUGUUGCGGAAUCAGCCUUUUGUUGCGAGAAUUUCGCAGCACUUUUGUACAGUAAGGUGUUUCUCCUUCUGACGAUGCACGAACCAUGCCGCGAGAGGGAAGCUAGGAACUUCAAGAUGGAAGCCAACUUUGCAGCCUGGUGAAGAUAGCUUGGUCUUGCGAAAUAAUUUCGCAGCCCUCUUGGGUGUCUGCGAAAUUUCGCAGGCACCACUUUUUUCCUGCGAAAUGGCUCCGGAAGCCUCCCGAAGCUUGCUACCGACAUUGGGAGAUAUUUUCCAUUAGAUUUUUGUUGUCUAAAUUCCAAAAUACUCCUUGUAAACCACCAAUUACAUGAUUCCUUAGUUUUUAAGUUAGUAAAAAGACCAAAUAUCUAUGUAAUAAUUAGUUUUAUAUUAGUUUGCUAUAAAUACCUCUCGGGAGCAUGUUCUCAGAGAGGAGUUCCUUCUGUAACCAUUUUGGUAAGCAAGUAAAGUCUUUUCUUUCUACUGCCUUACCUUCUCACUUUGUAUUUUCAUUUUAUUUCUAAGUUAUGAAUUCUCUGAGGAGCUUUCCCCAGAGAAUGAGUAACUAAACCUCCAAUUCCUUGGAGCUAAGGUUGCCGGGGAAGGUUCCAAGUGCAAGAAUGCAAAGCUCUGUGGUUUUAGCUAGUAAUGAAGAGGAAGUGAAAUCCUUUAGUGAUUUCAAUGUUUUUAGUUAACUUAAAACACCUUGGAGUCACCUGGGCCAACACUUGGUAAGGCAAGUGAUUUCCAACCGUGGAAAUGCACUAGUUUACCCCUUGCGAGCCUCUGGUAGGUGACUUCAAGGUAGGAUUUUCUGGAAUUACCAACACUUGGUAAGCUUUUGGACUCCUAGGAGACAUCCAUUAGUUAUCUCUUGCGAGUUUGUGAAGGGGAAUCCAAGGUUAAAGAUCACCUUGAAUGGUAAGUGCUCGUGAGAGGCAUGAACCAUUGCAAGUUGUAUCAGUGAGAGAAUUAAAGUGAAAUCUAAUUGAAGGAGUCUCUGUACAUCACCGGUUAGAGAAUUGACUAUAAGUUGAAUCUCUAAUGCGAGGAAAUGAACCAUCUGACCGGAGCUAUGUCUUUUGCAUGAGGAACCACCCCAGUGAACCUAAAUCUCCAAGGAAUGCUUUUCUUCCUAAAUUAUUCCAAACUUCUGUUAAGUUAGUUAGUUUAAGUCUAAACCUUUACCAAUCAAACUUUGUGUUUUAUUCCUUAAGCUAACCGUGAAAUGAAACAAAACCAAUUCACUUGGAAUUGGUAUCCUUGAUUGCUUGCAAAUCAUUCCCAGUGAACGAUCCUUAGAGCCACUAUACUAUAGUAGCUUUGUAUUUGCUACCCUAGUGUAUGGUGUUAUAGGUAUAAAUUUUGUUGAUCACUUCCUCAAUCAAGGAACACCAGCUGAACACAAAUCAGCUGAGACACCAAUUGGGCAUGAGUCAGUGCGUUAGAGGAUCAAGAAGAAGAAAAAGAAGGAACUGUUGGAAUUAGUAUGAGUGUGAAGAGAAAAGUAUAUAAAUAAGGGGAAGUAAAAGCAAAGUUCAAAAAGCUAUAUUUUUUUAUUGUUGGUGUAUGGUUGCAUGAUUAUCCCUAUAAAUAAUAGGAGUUUUUUGGUAUUCUACUAGUAGUUGAAGCAUAAUUUCAUAAAUUAAUAUUUAGAGCGGGGUGGGGUGAGUUGUGACAAAAUUCAUACCCGUCCCAAACCUUGGUUCAGAUUUUUAAAAUAUUCUCAAACUUAUCAUAUACCCAACUUUUAUAUUUCAUACUUGUCCUAAUAGAGGCACGUUAGGCCGGGUUACUUGAGUAACCUACAUAAUUGUCAUCCCUAGUUGAAAUACACUUUUUGGCAGUGGCCACCAACUGAGCUAGAAGCUUGAUUGAUUGACCUACAAGAUUAGUUCUCAUCAUUUUAAAAAAAGUUCUGGCUUUGGUUGUGAGUGCAAUUGAAUCUAAACUGGCAUUUGCUUAAUGCAUCUACUUCAAUCCUAAACUUCUUACUUCUUAAGCCUCAAUUGUUGUUAGGAUUUUGGAAAACCCAUUUCCUUAAAUUGUAAAUUUAAGAUAAAAUAAAAUAAAAGUGAGACAUUUCUUGAUUGAAUAUUGUUAAAGGUCCCUUGGCAUUAAGACUUGGUUGAAGCCUUGGAAGAUUAGUGGAACUCUCAACAUGUGUUUGAAUCUUGAGGAGAGUGGAUGUAAGCCAAAAUUUUGUCAAACCAUUAUACAAAUUGAGUUUGAAUCCUCAUUUCUUGAUUUCUUAUUUAUUUGCUUUUUCUUAUUAUUACUUGAAUUGUCAUUUGCAUUCAUUAAUGUUAAAAUUGGUUAUAAUUAACCAACACUAAUUCUCUUUCCCCUUCCCUUUCUUGGGUGUAAACCUAGGUUGGAUUAACUAGAUAAAUCUAUUAAGAUGGUAAAAGAAUAAUUAUUCUUAACAUACAUAAGAUCAUCUUCAAUCAAAUGACUCAUUGGCUAAUAUGUUGAAUUUGCUUAUUACUUGCAACUCAAAAUUGUGUUCUAGUUGUGUCAAGUCCCCAGUGUAUGGACAUUAAAUUUGUAGUACGUGAUGAGUAAUUAGAUGGUCCAACUCCAAGAAAGUGAUUGAAAAGUAGUUCAAGAAAGGUGCAAAAGGGAAUUGUUUUGGUAUUUUCGUUUUUAUUCUUGAAGGUGGCAGAGCUAAAAUUUGAGAAAUCAAGCAAAACAUACUGAAAUUACAUUGAAAGAAAGAAGAUGGGAGUUAAUGUCUUGCAGUACAUGAUAAGGACUUCAUGCAUGUAGUGUGACCCAUGUCUUGGACUGAUGCCAACUCACGGUUACACUUAUACCCUUGGUUCUCUCUUUACUACCUUGGCUAACCUAGAUCAGGCUAUGAGAUAGGCUCCUCACCACACCAUUACUUGCCCAUUAAUUAGAGACAUUUUCAAGCAAUGAGGUAACAUGGUGACACCAAGAGGGUCUAUUCCUCGCCCGGAACAAGUCUAGACUUGGUCUCAAAAAAAUGGAGAAAAAUGAGGUGUCGUUAUGUAGAAAUACAACAACCAUGCCUUCCUCAUUACUUAGAUUCAGAAUGUGAAGGUGAAAUUGAGAAACAGAAACUCUUGAAACCAAAAUGAAAAUUGAUACUUUUACGAAGAAUUACAACAACAUUAGAGGAAGACUACAUUCUUCCUCUUUAUUCCUACAUUUCUACACUACUUCUACUCCACUCCAUAUUUCUACAUACAUCUUUAAUCAGUCUUCCCUCCUUUAUAUAGAGCCAUCUUCACACAAAUUUCGCAAGGUAGAAAAGAGGAAUGAAACUUGGAGCAAGGUUCGACUACUGGUUGUAGCUUGUCAAGGCUGGAAGUGAACUUUUCUUGGCUUUCUGGGCAUGGGUAGUAACUUGUGGGUUCCUGUUUGGCAUAAAAAUGGCUAGAACAUGUGGCACUAUCUUGUUGGAUGAUGUGUCAAGCAUGUGGCAGCCAUCUAGUGGCGAUUAUGUCAAUUUUGGGAUGGAGAGUUGGCAUCCAAUUGCAAAGAAAUAUGACGUCUACCAACAUGCAAUGUAAACCUAUGUAGAUCAUAUGAAGAUAGAGAGGAAAAAUAUAGAAAUGGAUAUAUACCUAGAACUAGCUUUUUAUUAAAUGAAACGGAGAGACAACAAUGAAGGAAAAUAAAAUUUUUUGGCUUAUAUCAAAGAGUUCACAUUGUGUUACCCUAGGUUUUCUUAAAACUUACUUUUAUGAUAACAAAAAAGAAAAAACCAUUAUUGUUUAAUCCUUUGUUUUAAACGCAUGUAAGGUGUAAUUAAGUUAGUUCAAUGCAUUAAUUUAAGAAACUUGACCUAUCAAAAGUACAAAAUUAGAUGAAAUCCAUUUCAAUGGUUAAAAUGAUCAAAAUCAAACUUUUUCUAAGUAUUUUUUAAAAGCAUCAAUAGUGAAAGACAAUUUUAUAUUUAGUCGGAGUUUGGACAAAACUGAAAAACACACAAAAUCCAAGCGACCAUCUCUAGCUUGGAUGGUCGCUUGAUCCCACCUAGAGAUGUGCAUGAGUAAAAGGAUUUGAAAAUGGAAAUUGACUAUGUAGUCGAUCAAUUAACUUUGCAACAUCAUAUGCAAUCCUAAUUGCUAGUCAUCUAAUCAAUUAGGUAGUCAAUCAACAGGCCAAAAAUAUGUUUAUAAUGACUAUUUUGUACAAAAACCACCUGUAUAGUUAAAUAUAAUGCAUUUCAUUUAUAAAUCUUCUAAUUCUUGAAUAACGAUCCUAUCAUCCUUUGAAAGUUUUUAUUACACUUUUUUUACUUUUGUUCUAAAACUUACACAUCACCCUUAAUUGUACCAUGAGAACCUAGCUAUUUUUUAUUUUUUUUUUUGUAAUUCAUCAAAGUUAGCUUUUGUAUUCAUUGUUGUAUUAUUUUUAGUAUAACUUAGAAAGCUAGUGUUUUCAAGUGAGUAAAAUUAACUUGUAAAUAUUGUAAAGAUUCAUCGACAUGUAUCUUAAACUAAGUGUACAAGUUAAAACAUUUGCUAGUAGAUUUUCUCAAAAUUUAGAAUAGAGCUUGAGACUAUUGAAAUAGGUGGGGUUGCACCAAACCACAUCACAUCGUUGUUUGCACCUUUUUUCACUCUCUUUUACUUAGUUGCUCUAUAUUUGUUGUCUAGUAAUAUCCUAUAGGCUUGAUGGGUUAGGGAGCAUCCCUUUGUGAAAAAAUUUUAUUCAAUCCUUAGUUGUAUCACGCAUAUAUAAAAUGCCUCAUUGUUUUAAUGGUAUUCAGUCGUGGCAUCACAGAUAUGGGCAUCUAAAUUUUAAAAGUUUGAAACUUUUAUCUAAAGAAAAUAUGGUGCUUUGCCUUUUUGUAAAGCAUGUUGAUGAAAUCCAUGAGAAUUGUGUACUUGGGAAGCAACACCGAGAUGACUUUUUUUUUUUUUUUAUAAUAUUGUUUGUCCAAAUUCCCUACAAAUUAGGCCACCAGAUGUUCAUAAUUCUCCCUUCUUGAAUUUGAAAACUCGGACAAUUGGACAAUGCGACACCUAAGUCCGGUUUCUAAAUGCUAAAGUGAAAGGGUAGGUAUGGACCAUUGAAAUGUGAUCACAACUUUUCUCUGUAGCCAUGUUGUCUCUUUUUUCUUUUGCAUGAUUUUCUUACCUUAACAGAAUCAUAGACUUGUUUAGUCUCUAAAUGGGAUUAAUUUCAUCCAGCUUUAAGCUACUAUAUUAUAUCUAGGUGGAGGACUUUUAAGAGUGCAACCGACAUAGAGCACAUGGAAGUGGGUAUAUGGGACAUGAAAUUUCUUCUUAUAAAGAUUGCAUGAUUUUUAUAUUAGAGUUGUUGAGGCGCUAUGUAUUUAGCUUGUUUUGCAGUUAAAUUAAUUGGAUAAGUAGACAUUGGCGUUUCUAAAUCUACUGUGAAGUGCUUCAUGUACGUGUGAAGUAUUAGAAAUUUCUUUCUUGGCAACUUGUUUUUCUUUGCGGUCUACUGAUAGGUUUGACUAAAAUUAUAUUCCCUGUCAUGCUAAUUAAUUUUCACGUGCAUGCUCAAAAGAAAAGUAUGACCUUAGUGCACCAAAAUCACUUUGAUUAAUUUGUGAUAGGUUUUUGUGCAUCAUGACAUUAGCCUUAUUCAUUUAGAUAAUGUUUAGUUUUUAGAAAGUAUUAAGAAAAGGAAAAUAAAUAUUAAGAAAAAUAUUCUUAUAUUUGAUUGUAUUAUGAAAAAUAUCAUAAAAAAAUCAAAUAUAAUUUAAAUUAAUUAAUAAUUUAUACAUUUUCAAAUUAUUUAAUCUUUAUAUUGAAGAUAUAAUAUAAAUGAAAUGAGUUUUAAGUAUUAUAUAAAAGUGAUUUAUUGAUCUUACAUAUAUAUAUUUCUUUUUUUUUUCCUUCUAUUUUUUCUCUUUAUUUUAUUUUCCUUAUGUUUUCCUCAACAUUUUCCGGAACCAAACAUAGCCUUAGGAAAUCCACAAUUACCUUCAACUGAGUAGAUUCUGUUGUUUUAGCAAUGUUAGGCUGCUAACUUGUGUUGGUACGAACCUAUUAAGCCUAAAGAUGUAAUUAGUUAGGAUAUUCUUUUCCCUCUAGUCUUGUAGCUCCACGUGUACAGUUGGUUAGGACCUCAUUGUAUAUAAUGCUUGCCCUGUUAUUGUAGAAGACAACAAAGAUAAAUAAUAUUAACAUUUUUCCUCUCAUCUCUCUCUGUUUCCCUCUGUUUUCAUCUCCUCUCUCAUCUUGGUAUCAGAGCCUCCAUGGCUUCUUUCAAAGAAACCUCCGAAUCACCUUCUGCUAGCAUUGUUAAUGUGCAAAACCCAUUAUCUCAAUCAAACAACCUUCCUUCACCAGUAGCCACACCCUCUUUUUCUUUCUCGUCUAUGAAUCAACCUCUCACAGUGAAGCUGGAUAAUGGGAACUACCUCAUAUGGAAGAAUUAGCUUCUAAAUGUCAUCAUUGCUAACGGACUCGAUGAUUUCAUUGACGGAUCUCGACCCUGCCCUCCUCGAUUUCUCGAUCUGCAACAACAAACCCUCAAUCCAGAGUACUCAGCUUGGCAGAGAUACAAUCGACUUCUGAUGAGUUGGCUGUACGCAUCCUUGUCCAAAGAUAUAAUGGCUCAGAUUGUUGGGUAUUCAACAGCUAUGGAGAUUUGGAAUGCCCUUAAUCAGAUUUACUCUGCCUCUUCUAUGGCGCGGUUUACUGAGCUUCGCACCAAGCUUCAAACGCUCAAGAAAGAUGGACUCUCAGUUGGUGAAUAUAUUCAAAGGCUCAAAUCCAUUUGCAAUAGUCUUGCAGCAAUAGGAGAACCAGUUUCUGAGAAAGACCAUCUUAUCUAUUUGUUCAAUGGAUUAGAUUGUGAGUAUUAUUCUUUUGUUACCUCCAUUCAAAAUCGAUCUGACCAACCAACUAUUGACAAAAUCCAUAGCCUAUUGCUUAGCUAUGACUUCCGGCUUGAACAACAAAACUCUGUUUCUCUCCAUUCUGCCCAAGUCCAUAUGGCUCAUCUGAACAAGAAACCUUAUAAAUCAACUCCUCAACCUACAUUCAAUCAUAUUCACAUUCAACCUAGAUACUCUUCUCCACCUUUUAAGCCAACCACUAGUCAAUAUCAACCCAACAUUUUGGGCAAACCACAACCACAACCAUGACAGCCUCAACCUCAAUGGAAACCACAUUUUUCAAUCUAAAAUCAAAAGCCUCAGCGCCAAAUUUGUGGUAAAUUUGGACACACUGCUCUUAUUUGCUUCCAUCACACAAAUUUGAACUAUUCACCCCAACCUUCUCCUAAAUCUUUCAAUACUGUUCUCACCACAAAUUCCCAGCUCCCUAAUCCUCCAAAAUUUUCUUACCCUACAAUGGCUCAUCCUGCUGCUACGCAUAACACGGUUCCCGAUACAAAUUGGUACAUGGACUCAGGUGCUACACAUCACUUUACUCUGGACAUCAACGUGCUUGACACUGUGACACCAUUUAGUGGUUCAGAACAGGUGACAGUUGGGAAUGGUAAGCAACUCUGUAUCUCACAUCUUGGUACUGCAAAACUACCAUCUUCGUAUUCUCCUCCUGUUCUACAUCAGGUAUAUCACACUCCAAAAAUUUCAAAUAAUCUUAUUAGUGUUAAAAAAUUGUGUUCUGAUAAUAAAGUUUUUGUUGAAUUUUAUGCCACUCAUUUUCUUGUCAAGGAUCAGGUUUCGAAGAGAGUUCUCCUUUAGGGUCAACUUGAUAAUGGCUUAUACAAAGUUCAGUCGUCAUGCUCUCCUUCUGCUGUUUCCUUUCCUCCUCAAGUUUUCAUAGCCAACAUCAAGUAUCCAAAUCUGUGGCACAAGAGACUAGGCCACCCAGCUUUAUCUGUUGUUAAUCAAAUCUUGGAUUCUUGUAACAUUGCUCGAACACAGAAAAUUUGUUUUAAUUUUUUAAAUUCUUGUCAAUUAGCAAAGAGCCACAGGCUUCCUUUUUCUCUGUCUCCAUCCAUUGCAGAAAAACCUUUUGAGUUAAUUCAUACAGACCUAUGGGGUCUUUCGCUCGUUCGCUCUAUUUCUGGUGCUCUUUAUUUUUUACUUUUCAUUGAUGAUCAUACUCGUUUUACUUGGUUUUAUUUGCUCAAAACAAAAGAUGAAGCAUAUCCUACUUUUCUCAAGUUUCAAGCUCUCAUUGAAAAUCAAUUUAAUACCAAGAUUAAGGCUGUCCAAUCUGAUUGGGGAGGUGAGUUUCGAUCUCUCUCCAUACCGUUUUCAAAUAUGGGCAUUGUCUAUUGUUUAUCGUGUCCAUACACCUCACAACAGAAUGGGCGAGUUGAGCGAAAAAAUCGCCAUGCGAUUGUCCUUUCUUGCUUGCUCUAUGCCCUUAUCUUAUUGGCCUUAUGCCUUUCAAACUGCCACUUACCUUAUUAAUCGUCUCUCUACCCCUGUGCUGCAUCAUCAAUCCUCUUACUUCGCACUCUAUCACAAACUCCCAACUUAUACUCAUCUUAAGGUCUUUGGUUCCUCUUGUUUUCCGUAUUUGCACCCUUAUAAUACCCAUAAACUCCAAUACAGGUCACUAGAGUGUGCUUUUCUUGGUUACAGUUCACACCACAAAGGUUAUCUAUGUCUUGACAUUCAUUCUAGCAGGGUGUAUAUUUCUCGCCAUGUGAUUUUUAAUGAAGAUUCUUUUCCAUUCAAGAAUUUGAAAUCUUCUCUCUCUCAGUCUAUUUCUUCUUCCUCUUCUUUAUAAGUUCCUCUGUUCAUUCUCUUGCCUCCCCUUUCCCCAUCUCCUCUUAUUUCUUCAUCUAUACCUCAUUCUUUUCCCUCUUCUUCUUCUACCUCUAGUACUUGUUCCCCUCUCGUUGCUCCUACCUCUCUUCCUUCCUCUUCACACUCUGUGUCUCCAUCUAUUCCACCUCCUUCUCCACCUUCUCCGAGUGUGGACCUGCUUGCACCUUGUGUGAAUACAAAUUUACAUACUUCUUCUCGCACUCACAAUAUUCAUCCUAUGGUGACUAGAUCUAAGGUUUGUAUCUAUAAACCUAAGUUGUUGUUGAGUGUCUCCAUAGGUUCUCUCACUAAGCCUACUUCCUUUCUUCAAGCUAUUAAAGAUCCUUCAUGGAAGCAAUCCAUGGAAUUCGAGUUUGCUACCCUUCAACACAACAAGACCUGGCAUUUGGUUCCUUCACCUUCCUCAGGCGAAGUAAUCGGUUGUAAAUGGGUCUAUAAGCUAAAGCUUCAGCCUGAUGGCUAAAUUGAGAGAUACAGCCUGCUUAGUAGCUAAGGGUAUCAUCAAAUUGAAGUAUGGACUACUUCGAAACAUUCAGCCUGAUNNNNNNNNNNNNNNNNNNNNNNNNNNNNNNNNNNNNNNNNNNNNNNNNNNNNNNNNNNNNNNNNNNNNNNNNNNNNNNNNNNNNNNNNNNNNNNNNNNNNAGCUUCAGCCUGAUGGCUAAAUUGAGAGAUACAAGGCCUGCUUAGUAGCUAAGGGUUAUCAUCAAAUUGAAGGUAUUGACUACUUCGAAACAUUCAGCCUGAUUGUCAAGCUUUCUACUAUCUGUAUUGUGCUCAGUCUUACUUUUUCCCAGAAUUGGUGUAUUAGACAGCUGGAUGUUCAUAAUGCCUUCUUACAUGGUGACUUAGCUAAAGACGUUUUCAUGGAACAACUGCCUGGAUUUGUUGAUCCUCUCUAUCCUACUCAUGUCUGCAAGUUGGAUAAGUCUCUCUACUGUCUUAAAUAGUCACCUCGGGCUUGGUAUACUAAGCUGAGUACUUCUCGCUACACUUGGGAUUUGUUACUUCUAAGAAUGACUCUUCCUUAUUUAUUUGUCAUUCGUCUCAUGGGUUACUUCUUGUUCUUGUCUAUGUGGAUGAUAUAAUCGUCAUUGGGAGCCACUCUCCUCAGGUUACUCACCUUAUCCAACAGUUGCAUCAUUAGCUUUCUUUAAAGGAUCUUGGUCCUUUACAUUAUUUUCUGGGCUUGGAGGUUCAUCACACCCCUACUGGUAUUCACCUCAGCCAAGCAAAGUAUAUCACUGAUCUCCUUACCCGGGCGGCUAUGUUGGAUGCCAAGCCAUGUCCCACUCCUAUGUCCUCCAACACAUAUCUCUCUUUUCAUGAUGGAGUGGCUCUUGAAAAUGGUUCAGAUUAUCGAAGUUUUGUUGGUGCCCUUUAGUAUUGUACCAUGACACGCCCAGAUAUAGCUUUUGCAAUAAAUAAAGUGUGUCAAUUCAUGCACCAUCCCUCUAAUGUUCACUGGCAGGCUAUAAAACGUAUUCUCCGGUACUUAAAGGGCACAUCUCAUUUUGGUCUCUUCCUACAGCCUUCCUAUGACUUCAACAUCACUUGCUAUACAAAUGCCGACUGGGCUUCCUGUCCUGAUGACAAGUGUAGCACCAGUGGCUACUGCCUCUUUCUUGCCUCUAAUCUGGUUUCUUGGUCAUCUUCCAAACAAAAAGUGGUCUCCCGCUCCAGCGCCGAAUCAGAGUACCGAGGGGUAGCAAAUGGGGCUGCUGAAAUUGCUUGGACUGAAUCUCUUCUUUGUGAACUUUCCAUUACUCCCCCUCCCCUCAUUCUCUGUGACAAUAUCAGUGCCACGUACUUAGCUGCCAAUCCUAUUUUGCAUGCCCGCACCAAACAUGUGGAAAUCGACUAUCACUUUGUCACGGAACGUGUUCUUCAAUGCUCUCUUUUUGUCCAGUUUACACCUUCUGAUGAUCAACUUGCUGAUUGCAUGACCAAGCCUCUCUCCACCCAACGUUUCAUCACUCUACGCUCCAAGCUCACUGUUCUCACUAGACCAAUGAGCUUGAGGGGGGAUGUUAAGCCUAAAGAUGUAAUUAGUUAGGAUAUUCUUUUCCCUCUAGUCUUGUAGCUCCACGUGUACAGUUGGUUAGGACCUCAUUGUAUAUAAUGCCUGCCCUGUUAUUGUAGAAGACAACAGAGAUAAAUAAUAUUAACAUUUUUCCUCUCAUCUCUCUCUCUGUUUCCCUCUGUUUUCAUCUCCUCUCUCAUCUGAACCAAAUGAUCCAUGUUAACCUUGGCUUGGUUUGAUUUGGCUCUAUCUUAGAGAGCUCAAGGAUCACGUCAACUCUGGUUUCUACUAUUCAGGUCCAUUCCCAUAUGAACUGGUUCAAAUUUGAGAAAAUGGUAACAGACCUUUAGUGAUGUUGGUUUGGAGCCAGUUGCCAAACCCGCCCUGAGCUUUACCACUAAUGUCAAGGGAGAAAGCCAUUUGAACAAAAACAAUAGCUUCAAGGGACUGAAUCGUGGAUGAAAUCUGAUCCACAUUUCUUCUCAUUUUGGAAACAAAUGAGAACUUAACUAAGAAGAUUCUACGGCCUCAUAGUGCUUUUCCUGAUCUAAGGUUGGUUCGUUUCCCAAACUGUGAGAUGCACGUGCCAGACUUCAGAACUCUCACGCUCAGGAGUGUAUCCACGUGGUGGACAUAAGAUGGUGGCUUAAGAUCUGGUGUCGGUGGCUUUACUUUACUAGGAGAGUAGUGUGUCUUCAUCUCAUUCACUGCCGGAGGGUGGCGUAAGCAGUGACGCUAAGGUGGGGCACAGUCAAUAUCAUUUGCAUUUGACCAUUAUAGUUUUCUCCCGGCUUUAAAGUAACCUUAUCGUGAUAAAGGAUUACUAGCACUAGUUCAGAUGAUAGUCAUGUUAAAUUCGGACCAUGUUUGUGUCACAUUAUCAGCAACCAUGUGUUUAUGGUUCAUGCUUUCUGCAACUAAAAUUGAUAUAUAACCAGGUGAACUUCAAUCUAAAUUCUGAAAGUACUCAUGUGAUAGAUGGUGCCCGUCUGCAGAGUCCAUCAAUUGAAAAAUGGAGUGAGUGUAUCUAUAAGAGGGAAGGCUUGGAAAAUGUUCAGUUUUCUGGGAAUUCAACAAGGAUCUAAAAUAGAUUGUUUUCUUUGCUGAUUUCAAUGGUUGAAAUUUGAGAAGAUUGUGUCCACAUAACACAACUAUUACUGGUCCUUCUGUUGCAAUUUAUCCUCUAAAGCUCUAGCAUGUCUUCCAAUUCCCACUUCCCUGUUACUCCAGGAAAGCUAUUUCUGUCAUUGUGAAGAAGAAAAGAGAAUGUACAUAUCGAUGCUUUUAAGUGACUGGAGCAUUUAUAUCAGGUGGUCUGCAGCCAUAUAUGCCACUUUGUGAAGAUUGGAACAGUCAAUCACUAGGCUAUAUAUUAGUGUGGCCCAGCCACUUUAAUCAAGGACAAGUCUUCAUACUUAAAGUCAAAUUCUGCCUUUAGUCUCAUUAUAAAUUUCUGUUUAAAUAUUAAGCAAACAUUUGUUUAAUGCGAUUAAGACAGUACUAACUCAAUACCUGUUCUAUUUUUGGAUGCAAAUGCUUGAUGGUUUCAUCAUUGGAUGGGAUAAAGGUGCAUUCAUGAUUAGGAAUACUAGUAGUUAUAUUUUAAUUCUCUUUUUUCUCAAUGAGACUUGUUGGCACAAUUUUGCUGUUGAGAAACCUACCUCUCCAUGGAAAAUAAGUUGUGAUUGAUAGUACUGGAUAUAUUCAAGAAAUCUAAAUAUAGAUAGCACAAAAUAUUAUCGACAUAAAUAGCAUUAACAGCGUACGUAUGUCUCAGUGCUCAUCAGCUAUAAGCAUGGGGCAAACACUUACUAUGAGCAACUUACGUCAAAAUUCCAGAAUAGGACAUAGAAGUGACAGAUAUAGAACAUUGCAUAUGAGUCACAAGAAAGGAAAUUACGGGUGCAUAGCAGCUCUUAUUUUACAUACUACUACUCAUACUGAUCAAAGUCACUCAGUUGGGAUGGGUGGGAGUAGGAGGUUUGUGGGGUGGCUUGUGCGGAGGAGUUGGCAGCUUCUUUCCAGGACCUGGUUGCUUCUCUGCUGGAGUUGAAGGAGGCUUAAUCUUCCGAGGUGGCUUGUAUGAGUCUUCAGCAUUCUCAGCUGGAGGGUGACCAGGGUUGUGACCAUAAUGUGGUGGCUUCUCUCCCUUAGGUGGUUUGCCAACUGGGGUUGGUGGCUUGUAUGAGUCUUCAGCAUUCUCAGCAGGAGGGUGACCAGGGUUGUGACCAUAAUGUGGUGGCUUCUCUCCCUUAGGUGGUUUGCCAACUGGGGUUGGUGGCUUGUGUUCUGGGAGUGGCUUCUCCCCCUUGGGAGGUUUUUCCAAUGGGGUUGGUUUGUGUUCAGGAGGUGGCUUCUCCACUGGAGGCUUGUGUUCAGGAGGUGGCUUCUCCACCGGAGGCUUGUGUUCAGGUGGUGGCUUCUCCACCGGAGGCUUAUGCUCUGGUGGUGGCUUCUCGAAUGGGGGAUGCUUAGGAUAAUCAGCAAGUGAGGGGGCGGUGAGAACCACCAGGCCAAGCAACACCACUAGCAAAUAUGUAGGAGACAUCUUUGGGUUUGGGCUCAGAUGGUGCAAAACUAGGAGAAUUGGCUAGCCUUUUAUAGCGGAUCGUACCCAAUAAUGAAAUGACACGUGUCAUUAUGACCCAUGUGUAAUGGGGUCGAUUUGGGUCCUACAGUGUUGAAAACUUCGACAUCCACUUUUGGCCUUUUGCUUUCUCUACAGCCGCCUUGCUUUUUCCCUCUUUCCUUUUGUUUUCCUCCUGCCCCAUUCUAUCAACUAAACACAAUUAUGUAGUUGUUUAAUUCUUAAAUGAGAUAUUAUCCGUCAAUCGUAUUAUAUUUUAUCAAGAGAGAACGGAGUGCAAUGUGGCUGUAAUUUUAUCGUUUAGUUUUAUCUCUUGGACCACUGCAUUUUUGUUAAGAGGUGCAAUAAUACACGUCUUUAUCUGCCAUUCAAUAUUUACAGUAAAGAGAGGGCACAAAACUCUUCACUUCGCACCAUAAUUAUUUUGUUUUCUGGACACCCCGGGGCCCUUUGGUUGGUUUGGGGGUCAGAAAGUGAACAUCAUAGGGGGUUUUUCCCUUAUGUGCAUUUGUAUCUGAUGGCUUUAACUCGCCUUGUUACUACAAAGAAACUGUCACAGAUAGGAACUUAUUCCAGGCUGAGUAUCUCCUCAUAGACCCUAUAAAAGAAGACAAGUCAUAAUGAACAUCUAACCUUUGUUCAAUUUGAUUCAAUGCCCCCAUUGUGUCCAUCUCACAAAUCUGAAUUAUUAUAUCCAUUGAAUACAUAAAUUAAUGAAGAAAAUAUGAAACCCAAGAUACAUCUCUGCACAACCUCAACCCUGGUUGCUAUGUUUCCCUUCUAUUCACAUGAUUUGAUGCUAAUUGCCAAACUUGCAACAAGCCCUGAGUUUGACACCUAGUAUCGAUGGGCGAAUUUAAAGUCUCCUCCAAACAUAUAUUCCACAGCUUGAAGCUCACAGAAGAUGUUACAGGCAGGGAAAAACCUUCAGAGUUCGCUACCAAAGAUAAUUAUUAAGGAGAUAUCACAAAGAGAAUUCCAAGGGGUCUGAAUCAAAGACAAAUUGGUCGUUCGUGGGGGUUCUUACUUUCUUUUGGGUAUAACUCACUGAGGGCACUGUCUUUGUUAUUUGCAUUUCACAUUUAGAGUUCUGUUCUGGAAACAUAUAAAAGGAGCAUCAUUUUGUUCUUGGGUAACCCAUAGUCGUGAGUGGGUCCAUUUGCAUGCUACUUAGUUGAAAAGUUGGACCAUUUGCUCCGACGCCUACCUCCCGGAUUCCAUGCUCGGAUAAAACAAGAAUAAAAAAAAUAUUUAUAAUUUACAAAUGGGGGAAAGAAAAAAAUGUCAACAACAAACCAGGAAAAAAGAGUAGUAAAAUUCAUGUCACAUGCUAGUGAGAGAAGGGGUUGUUACACUCACUCGAAGUUCUUUCCAAAAUAUCGCAUGGUAUUUUAUUUUAUGUGUCAGCGCAGUUGUGAAUGGAACGUGCAAAAGUCCAAAUUGGCGUUUUUCCUUUUCCCGUGUAGGAUGGCGACCUUUAAUAAAUAUUUAAAACAAAAAACGAAAAAAAGGAGGGAAAAGGGAUCAGAAAAGAUAAAACAAUGUGUACAAGAGCUCAAUUAGUUUGCAAAUUACUGUUUGGAUUUUGAUAGUAUUUUAUUUGUCCAUCUAUAUUUGAUGGAAAAGAGAAUUUAAGAUAUUUCUGAAACAAAAGCAUUAGUGUAAAACUAAAUUAAGGUAUAAUUAAGUUAGUUCAAUGCAUUAAUUUAAGAAACUUGAUCUAUCCAAAGUACAAAAUUAGAUGAAAUCCAUUUCAAUGGUUAAAAUGAUCAAAAUCAAACUUUUUCUAAGUAUUUUUUAAAAGCAUCAAUAUUAAAAGACAAUUUUAUAUUUAGUCGGAGUUUGGACAAAACCAAAAAGCACACAAAAUCCAAGCGACCAUCUCUAGCUUGGAUAGUCACUUGAUCCCACCUAGAGAUGUGCAUGAGUAAAAGGAUUUGAAAAUGGAAAUUGACUAAAUAUUUAGUUGAUCAAUUAAAUUUGCAAUGUCAUAUGCAAUCCUAAUAGCUAGUCAUCUAAUCAAUUAGGUAGUCAAUCAAGUGUUUGUAAUGACUAUUUUGUACAAAAAACCACAUGUAUAGUUAAAUAUAAUGCAUUUCAUUUAUAAAUCUUCUAAUUCUUGAAUAACGAUCCUAUCAUCCUUUGAAAAUUUUUAUUACACCUUUUUUACUUUUGUUCUAAAACUUACAUAUCACCCUUAAUUGUACCAUGAGAACCUAGCUAUUUUUUUUUUUUUUGUAAUUCAUCAAAGUUAGCUUUUGUAUUCAUUGUUGUAUUAUUUUUAGUAUAACUUAGAAAGCUAGUGUUUUCAAGUGAGUAAAAUUAACUUGUAAAUAUUGUAAAGAUUCAUUGAUAUGUAUCUUAAACUAAGUGUACAAAUUAAAACAUUUGCUAGUAGAUUUUCUCAAAAUUUAGAAUAGAGCUUGAGGCUAUUGAAAUAGGUGGGGUUACACCAAACCACAUCACAUCGUUGUUUGCACCUUUUUUCACUCUCUUUUACUUAGUUUCUCUAUAUUUGUUGUCUAGUAAUAUCCUAUAGGCUUGAUGGGUUAGGGAGCAUCCCUUUGUGAAAAAAUUUCAUUCAAUUCUUAGUUGUAUUACGCAUAUAUAAAAUGCCUCAUUGUUUUAAUGGUAUUCAGUCGUGGCAUCACAGAUAUGGGCAUCUAAAUUUUAAAAGUUUGAAACUUUUGUAAAGCAUGUUGAUAAAAUCCAUGAGAGUUGUGUACUUGGGAAGCAACAUCGAGGUGACUUUAUUUUUUUUUCCUUUUAUAAUGCCACACCUAAGUCCGGUUUCUAAAUGCUAAAGUGAAAGGGUAGGUAUGGACCAUUGAAAUGUGAUCACAACUUUUGGCCUUUUCCUUUCUCUGCAGCCAUGUUGUCUCUUUUUUCUUUUGCAUGAUUUUCUUACCAAAACAGAAUCAUAGACUUGUUUAGUCUCUAAGCUACUAUAUUAUAUCUCGGUGGACUUUUAAGAGUGCAACCGACAUAGAGCACAUGCAAGUGGGCAUAUGGGACAUGAAAUUUCUUCUUACAAAGAUUGCAUGAUUUUUAUAUUAGAGUUGUUCACGUGCAAUGUAUUUAGCUUGUUUUGCAGUUAAAUUAAUUGGAUAAGUAAACAUUGGCAUUUCUAAAUCGACUGUGAAGUGCUUCAUGUACGUGUAAAGUAUUAGAAAUUUCUUUCUUGGCAACUUGUUUUUUCCUUGCCAUCUACUGGUAGGUUUGACUAAAAUUAUAUUCCCUGUCAUGCUAAUUAAUUUUCAUGUGCAUGCUCAAAAGAAGAGUAUGACCUUAGUGCACCAAAAUCACUUUGAUUAAUUUGUGAUAGGUUUUUUUGCAUCAUUUAGAUAAUGUUUAGUUCUAAGAAAAAUUUAUAUAAAAAUGGUUUAUUUAUCUUACAUAUAUAUAUAUAUAUAUAUAUUUUUUUUUUUUUCAUUUUUUUUUCUUCUAUUUUAUUUAUUUAUUUUAUUUUCCUUAUGUUUUCCUCACAUUUUCCGGAACUAAACAUAGUCUUACGAAAUCAACAAUUGCCUUCAACUGAGUAGAUUCUGUUGUUUUAGCAAUGUUAGGCUGCUAACUUGUGGUGGUACGAACCAAAUGACCCAUGUUAAUCUUGGCUUGGUUUGAUUUGGCUCUAUCUCAGAGAGCUAAAGGAUCACGUCAACUCUGGUUUCUACUAUUCAGGUCCAUUCCCAGAUGAACUGGUUCAAAUUUGAGAAAAUGGUAACAGACCUUUAGUGAUGUUGGUUUGGAGCCAGUUGCCAAACCCGCCCUGAGCUUUACCACUAAUGUCAAGGGAGAAAGCCAUUUGAACAAAAACAAUAGCUUCAAGAGACUGAAUCGUGGAUGAAAUCUGAUCCACAUUUCUUCUCAUUUUGGGAAAAAAUGAGAACUUAACUACAAAGAUUCUACUGCCUCAUUCAUAGUGCUUUUCCUGAUCCAAGGUUGGUUCGUUUCCCAAAUUGUGAGGUGCACGUGCCACUCUCACGCUCAGGAGUGUAUCCACGUGGUGGACAUCAGAUGGUGGCUUAAUAUCUGGUGUCGGUGGCUUUACUUUACUAGGAGAGUAGUGUGUCUUCAUCUCAUUCACUGCCGGAGGGUGGCGUAAGCAGUGACGCUAAGGUGGGGCACAGUCAAUAUCAUUUGCAUUUGACCAUUAUAGUUUUCUCCCGGCUUGAAAGUAACCUUAUCGUGAUAAAGGAUUACUAGCACUAGUUCAGAUGACCGUCAUGUUAAUUCGGACCAUGUUUGUGUCACAUUAUCAGCAACCAUGUGUUUAUGGUUCAUGCUAUCUGCAACUAAACUUGAUAUAUAACCAGGUGAACUUCAAUCAAAAUUCUGGAAGUACUCUUGUGAUAGAUGGUGCCUGUCUGCAGAGUCCAUCAAUUGAAAAAUGGAGUGAGUGUAUCUAUAAGAGGGAAGGCUUGGCAAAUGUUCAGUUUUCUGGGAAUUCAACAAGGAUCUAAAAUAGAUUGUUUUCUUUGCCGACUUCAAUGGUUGAAAUUUGAGAAGAUUGUGUCCACAUAUCACAACUAUUACUGGUCCUUCUGUUGCAAUUUAUCCUGUAAGGCUCUAACAUGUCUUCCAAUUCCCACUUCCCUGUUACUCCAGGAAAGCUAUUUCUGUCAUUGUGAAGAAGAAAAGAGAAUGUACAUAUCGAUGCUUUUAAGUGACUGGAGCAUUCAUAUCAGGUGGUCUGCAGCCAUAUAUGCCACUUUGUGAAGGUUGGAACAGUCAAUCACUAGGCUAUAUAUUGGUGUGGCCCAGCCACUUCAAUCAAGGACAAGUCUUCAUACUUAAAGUCAAAUUCUGCCUUUAGUCUCAUUAUAAAUUGCUGUUUAAAUAUUAAGCAAACUUUUGUUUAAUGCGAUUAAGACAGUACUAACUCAAUACUUGUUCUAUUUUUGGAUGCAAAUGCUUGAUGGUUUCAUCAUUGGAUGGGAUAAAGGUGCAUUCAUGAUUAUGAAUACUUGUAGUUAUAUUUUCAUUCUCUUUUUUCUCAAUGAGACUUGUUGGCACAAUGUUGCUGUUCAGAAACCUACCUCUCCAUGGAAAAUAAGUUGCGAUUGAUAGUACUGGAUAUGUUCAAGAAAGCUAAAUAUAGAUAGCACAAAAUAUUAUCGAUAUAAAUAGCAUUAACAGCGUACGUAUGUCUCAAUGCUCAUCAGCUAUAAGCAUGGGACAAACACUUACUAUGAGCAACUUACGUCAAAAUUCCAGAAUAGGACAUAGAAGUGACAGAUCUAUAUAUAUAGAACACUGCAUAUGAGUCACAAGAAAGGAAAUUACGGGUGCAUAGCAGCUCUUAUUUUACAUACUACUACUCAUACUGAUCAAAGUCACUCAGUUGGGAUGGGUGGGAGUAGGAGGUUUGUGGGGUGGCUUGUGCGGAGGAGUUGGCAGCUUCUUUCCAGGACCUGGUUGCUUCUCUGCUGGAGUUGAAGGAGGCUUAAUCUUCCGAGGUGGCUUGUAUGAGUCUUCAGCAUUCUCAGCUGGAGGGUGACCAGGGUUGUGACCAUAAUGUGGUGGCUUCUCUCCCUUAGGUGGUUUGCCAACUGGGGUUGGUGGCUUGUAUGAGUCUUCAGCAUUCUCAGCAGGAGGGUGACCAGGGUUGUGACCAUAAUGUGGUGGCUUCUCUCCCUUAGGUGGUUUGCCAACUGGGGUUGGUGGCUUGUGUUCUGGGAGUGGCUUCUCCCCCUUGGGAGGUUUUUCCAAUGGGGUUGGUUUGUGUUCAGGAGGUGGCUUCUCCACUGGAGGCUUGUGUUCAGGAGGUGGCUUCUCCACCGGUGGCUUGUGUUCAGGAGGUGGCUUCUCCACCGGAGGCUUAUGCUCUGGUGGUGGCUUCUCCACCGGAGGCUUAUGCUCUGGUGGUGGCUUCUUGAAUGGGGGAUGCUGAGGGUAAUCAGCAAGUGAGGGGGCGGUGAGAACCACCAGGCCAAGCAACACCACUAGCAAAUAUGUAGGAGACAUCUUUGGGUUUGGGCUCAGAUGGUGCAAAACUAGGAGAAUUGGCUAGCCUUUUAUAGCGGAUCGUACUCAAUAAUGAAAUGACACGUGUCAUUAUGACCCAUGUGUAAUGGGGUCGAUUUGGGUCCUACAGUGUUGAAAACUUCGACAUCCAGUUUUGGCCUUUUGCUUUCUCUACAGCCGCCUUGCUUUUUCCCUCUUUCCUUUUGUUUUCCUCCUGCCCCAUUCUAUCAACUAAACACAAUUAUGUAGUUGUUUAAUUCUUAAAUGAGAUAUUAUCGGUCAAUCGUAUUAUAUUUUAUCAAGAGAGAACGGAGUGCAAUGCAGCUGUAAUUUUAUCGUUUACUUUUAUCUCUUGGACCACUGCAUUUUUGUUAAGAGGUGCAAUAAUACACGUCUUUAUCUGCCAUUCAAUGUUUACAGUAAAGAGAGGGCACAAAACUCUUCACUGCUCUGCAUGUGUCCCAAAAAUGCGAUUGGACAAAUUAUGAUUUGCAUGCUAAAAAGAGGCAAAUGAGGUUAAUUCGCACCAUAAUUAUUUGGUUUUCUGGACACCAUAAAAAGAUGUUAUACAGGCAGGGAAAAACCUUCAGAGUUAGCUACCAAAGAUAAUUAUCAAGCAGAUAUCACCAAGAGAAUUCCAUAGAGUCUGAAUCAAAGACAGAUUGCUCGCUCGUGGGGGUUCUUACUUUCUUUUGGGUAUAACUCACUGAGGUCACUGUCUUUUUUAUUUGCAUUUCACAGUUAGAGUUCUGCUCUGGAAGGUUUGUUCUGGAAACAUAUAAAAGGAGCAUCAUUUUGUUCUUGGGUAACCCAUAGUCGUGAGUGGGUCCAUUUGCAUGCUACUUAGUUGAAAAGUUGGACAAUUUGCUCCGACGCCUACCUCCUGGAUUCCAUGCUCGGUAAAACAAGAAUAAAAAAAAAUAUAUAAUUUACAAAUGGGGGAAAGAAAAAAUGUCGGAAAAAAUAGUAAAAUUCAUGUCACAUGCUAGUGAGAGAAGGGGUUGUUACACUCACUCGAAGUUCUUUUCAAAAUAUCGAAUGGUAUUUUACUUUAUGUGUCAGCGCAGUUGUGAAUGGAACGUGCAAAAGUCCAAAUUGGCGUUUUUAUUUUUCCCAUGUAGGAUGGUGACCUUUAAUAAAUAUUUAAAACAAAAGACGAAAAAAAAAAGGAGGGAAAAGGGAUCACAAAAGAUAAAAUAAUGUUUACAAAAGCUCAAUUAGUUUGCAAAUUACUGUUUGGAUUUUGAUAGUAUUUUAUUUGUCGUUCUAUAUUUGAUGUAAAAGAGAAUUUAAGAUAUUUCCGAAGCAAAAGCAUUAGUUUGCUCUGUGAUGUCCCACAUCGAAUAGGGGAGAAAGUUUCUGGCGCUAUAUAUGUAGAGGCUCCUCUUAACCAAGUAGAUGCGUUUUAAAACCAUGAGGGCCCCCUUAGGUCCAAAGCGGACAAUAUCUACAUGAUUGGGUGUAAGUCAUUACAAAUGGUAUCAGAGCCGAUCCCCGACCCCGGUGUGGGGGUUUGUUUGGCCCUGUAAGGGGUGUUUGUCUGUUUGACCCCACAAUCCCAUGGGACACAACGAGGACGUUGUGUCUGCAUGGGGGGGCGUUUGUGAUGUCCCACAUCGGAUAGGGGAGAAAGUUCCUAGUGCUAUAUAUGUAGAUGUUUCUCUUAACCAAGUAGAUGCAUUUUAAAAUUGUGAGGGCCUCUUUGGGCCCAAAGCGGACAAUAUCUACAUGGUUGAGUGUAAGUCAUUACAUGCUCCAUGUCAAUUUCAGCAUUUCUCAUAUGUUUCACACAUACACAGAAGAGCAUCGUUUUUUAAAGCAUGCAUUUAUGUUGGAUUAAUUUGGAUUUUGUGGGAACUGGGGCAAGGAUCACAUGGAAGAGAGGUUGACUUUUUUCAGUACUUCAAUGGUUGAAAUAUGUGAAGGCUUGAUUGAUACUAAAGCUUGAAAUUGCGACUCUGUCAUUUGUAAAAAAAUAUGACAGCUUCCAUGCUCUCGUUUGGUUGCAUUGUCCGGUCGAGAGGUGCAAAAAGCAUUCUCUCUCUUCUAAUAGUCUUUUCGUUUAAAUCAAGGGAUUUGCCUUCCCGGUCGAGGUCCAAUAGAGGGUAACGGUCACCUACUAAACAUUAAAUGCUCCAACAACUAGUGAACUGAUCGACCCCAGCUCGACUAGUUGAGGUUACUUUUUGGUUUUCUUGUCUCCCGAGGUUAGAAACCUAUAAAUAGAGAGCUUCACUUCAUUUAUGAGUAAGAGAACACCUAAAUUUAUUUGUUUACCUACUUGUUUUUGCCAUAAAAGCUCUCAUUUCUUUUCUUGGUGUAUUAAAUCUCCAUUUGCAUAUCCUUUAGUGCACCUUUGUGAUUCAUUCUAGCCUUGAGUUGUAUUUAAGCCUUUGUUGAGCUAGGUUGAGAGUUUCAUACUUGUUUAUUGAGUGUUAAAGCCUUCAAGUGAGUUAAAACUUGAAGAGAUUGUGUAAGAGCCCAUUGGAGUCGGAAUCCAAGUGUAAAGGUGAUUAAAAGCUUGGUUGAAGCUUCAAGUUAGUGGAACUCUCACUCGGUUAUGAGCUUGAGAAGAGUGGACAUAGACAAGGCAGUGUCGAACCACUAUAAAAUCUGAGUUUGAUUUCUCUAACCUUAUCUCUUUAUAUUUGCUUCUCUUGUGCUUAAAUUUUUUGUGUUUAAAAAGAAUUUUUAAAAACUCAAUUCACCCCCUUCUUGGGAGUUUUUCUCUUUUAAGAUCAGCUUUUAUUUUCUCAAUUGGUAUCAGAACUAUGCCUCUUGUUUAAGACUUAAUCGUCUAAGAGGAAAUGGCUAAUCCAUCAAGUUCAUCUCACAUUGAAAGUUUUGCAACCAAUAGACUUCUUUUUUUUUUUUUGCGGGAACUGAUUAUCCCUAUUGGAAAACUAAAAUGACUUGGUUUUUACAAUCAAUUGAUUUAGAUGUAUGAGAUGCCAUUGAAGAUGACCUAACUUUUCCUUCAAAACUAGUUGAUGGAGUCAUGGUUCCAAAACCUAAGCAAGAAUGGGAUGAGCGUGAUUGAAGAAAUUUUCAAUUAAAUGCUAAAGUCGUUUAUACUUUGCAAUGCUCUAUGGACAGAAAUGAAUAUAAUAGAAUAUGUCAAUGCAAAUCGGUUAAAGAAAUUUGGAGAUUGCUUGAAAUAACUCAUAAAGGAACAAAUCAAGUUAAAGAGUCAAAAAUCAAUUUACUUGUUCAUAGAUAUGAAUUGUUUUUUAUGAAAGAUAAUGAAACUAUUGUUAAGAUGAUCACUAGGUUCACCAACAUUGUUAAUGGUCUUAAAGCCUUGGGAAAGACCUACAAGGAAUCCGAAAACGUGAUGAAGAUCUUGAGGUCACUUCCAUCAAAGUGGCAUACCAAGGUCACCGCAAUUUAAGAAGCAAAAGACUUGAUCAAGCUACCUUUGGAGGAGUUCAUAGGGUCAUUGAUGACAUAUGAAAUCAAUUUGGCAAAGAAGUAACAAAAAGGUGAAGACAAAAAGAAGAAGAACAUAACUCUCAAAGCUACAACUAAGGAAGAAGAAGUUGAAGAAGAAAAACAAAUUGAAGAAGAUGAAGAUUUAGCCCUCAUCACAAGAAAGUUCAACAAAUUCAUGAGGGGUGAAAGGUUUAGAAGAAGAAGGUUCACUUCUAGAAGAGACUUUUCUAAAAAGGAAUCUUCAUCUAAUGGUGACAAAAAGAGAUGGGAAGAGAAAAGAGACUUGGUGUGUUUCAAGUGCAAGAAACCGGGACACAUUAAAUAUGAUUGUCCUCUCUACAAAAGUGAAGUCAAGAGGAAAAAGAAUAAGGCAAUGAUGGCCACUUAGAGUGAAAGUGAAGAUGAAUCAUCCGAAGAAGAAAAUGAGAAAGAAGUGGCAAACAUGUGUUUCAUGGCAAUAGAUGAACUUGAUGAGGUAAAAUCUAACCUUAGUGAUUAAGAUAUACAUGAUGCAUUUGAAGAAUUGUAUGAGGAUUUUUAAAAACUUAGUUUGAAAAAUAUUUCUCUUAAAAAGAAAGUUCAACAACUUGACAAAGAACUUAGAGAAGUAAAAGAAAAAUUUUCAAAUGUUAAAGUUUCUAAAACUCAUCUUGAAAAAGAAAAUGAGAUUCUAAGAAAGAAAAAUGAAUAGUUGAACUCCUCUCUUUCAAUCUUUUCUUCUAGACAAAAAUCUUUUGAAAUGAUUCUAACUAGCUAAAAAUGUGUUUUUGACAAACAAGGGUUAAGAUUUAAAUCUUCAAAAAAUCAAAAGUAUUUUAAAAACUAUUUUGUAAAGGAAUCCACAAGUGCAAGUCCUUCCACUACUUGCAACUUUUGUGGAAGAGAAUGGCACAUUAGUAGUACGCCCUUUAAGAAAUGGUUCUCAAAAGAAUUUAAAUGCAAAAACUAAAAAAGAUUUGGAUUGAGAAAUCCAAGGUCACUAACCCUCAAGGACCCAAAAAGAUAUAGGUACCUAAAUCAACUUGAGUUUUAUGUUGUAAGGUUCAAAGAAUGAUAAGUGGUUCUUAGAUAAUGGUUGCUCAAGACACAUGACCGGAGAUGAAUCCAAGUUUGCUUUUCUUAAAAAGAAAAAUGGAGGAUAUGUUACCUUUGGAGACAAUGCAAAAGAAAGGAUGAUUGGUCAAGGCAACAUUGGUAAUGGCACAUCCUCUCUCAUUGAAAGUGUUUUAUUAGUAGAUGGUUUCAAACAUAACCUUUUAAGCAUUAGUCAAUUUUGCGACAAAGGUUUUUAAGUGAUUUUUUAAGCAUCUCAUUGCAUCAUCAAGGAUAUUCAAAAUGAUAAAACCAUUUUCAUGGGCCAUAGAUGUGAUAAUGUUUAUGCUAUAAAUAUUUCAAAAUAUGAUGGCCAUGAUAGAUGUUUUUCAAGCAUGCAUGAUCAAAGUUGGUUGUGCCAUAGGAGAUUGAGACAUGCUAACAUAGACCUCAUUUCCCAACUCAACAAAGAUGAACUUGUUAGAGGCCUUCCCAAAAUAAUUUUUUAAAAAGAUAAAGUUUGUGAAGCUUGUCAAGUGGGAAAGUAAAUCAAAAACUCUUUUAAAAACAAAAACUUCAUUUCCACAUCUAGGCCACUUGAGUUGUUGCAUAUGGAUUUAUUUGGUCCCUCUAGGACACCAAGUCUUAGAGGAAAUUCUUAUGCAUAUGCUAUUGUGGACGACUUCUCUAGAUACACAUGAGUCUUGUUUUUUAGUCAAAAGAAUAAAGUUUUUUAUGAGUUUUCAAAGUUUUGCAAUAAGAUUCAAAAUGAAAAAGGUUUUUCAAUUACUUAUAUAAGAAGUGAUCAUGGGAGAGAAUUCGAAAAUAUUGAUUUUGAAGAGUAUUGCAAUGAGCAUGGAAUUGACCACAAUUUUUUGGCUCUUAGAACUCCUCAACAAAAUGGGGUAGUUGAAAGGAAAAAUAGAACUCUUCAAAAAAUGACAAGAACCAUACUAAAUGAAAACAACUUACCAAAAUAUUUUUAGGCCAAAACGGUUAACACUUCUUGUUAUGUUUUAAAUAGAGUAUUAUUGAGGCUCAUACUUAAGAAAACUCCCUAUGAGCUUUGGAAAAACAAAAAACCCAACAUUAGUUAUUCCAAAGUCUUUGGAUGCAAUAUUUUAUAAUAAACACCAAAGACAAUCUUGGAAAAUUUGAUGCAAAAUUGGAUGUUGGAAUUUUCCUUGGUUACUCAACUUCAAGUAAAGCUUUUCGAGUUUUAACAAAAGAACCAUGGUUGUAGAGGAGUCCAUCCAUGUUAUUUUUUAUGAAUCUCCAAGAAAGAGAGAGGAUUGAUGAUGAUUUAGGUUUGAAGACCUCUAUAGGAAGAUUGCAAAUCGAAGAUAGAAGACAACAAGAAGAAAAUGGAGAGAAUCCAAAGAAAGAAGGAUCACCAUUGGCACUACCCCCUCAUCAACAAGCGCAAGGUGAAUCAAGUCAAGAGCUUCCUAAAGAAUGGAAGUUUGUCAUCAAUCACCCACAAGAUCAAAUUAUAGGCAAUCCAUCUAGUGGGGUAAGAACUAGAUCCUCUCUUAGAAAUAUUUGCAAUAAUCUAGCUUUUAUCUCUCAAAUUGAGCCUAAAAAUAUAAAUGAUGUUUUAGAUGAUGAAAAUUGGAUAAUUGCAAUGCAAGAAGAGUUAAAUCCAUUUGAAAGAAGUGGAGUAUGGGAAUUAGUACCAAGACCUUCAAAUCAAAGUGUUAUUGGAACUAGAUGGAUCUUUAGAAAUAAAAUGGAUGAAAAUAGCAUAAUUGUUAGAAAUAAAGCAAGAUUGGUAGCCCAAGGUUUUAAUCAAGAAGAAAUGAUAGAUUAUGAAGAAACCUUUGCCCCCGUAGCUAGGUUGGAAGCCAUUAGGAUGCUACUUGCCUUUGCAUGUUUUAAAGACUUUGUUUUAUAUCAAAUGGAUGUGAAAAGUGCUUUUUUAAAUGGUUUUAUAAAUGAAGAAGUAUAUGUUGAACAACCACCCGGUUUUCAAAGUUUCAACUUUCCUAACCAUGUUUUUAAACUUAAAAAGACACUUUAUGGUUUGAAACAAGCACCUAGAUCAUGGUAUGAAAAAUUGAGUAAAUUUCUUUUGAAAAAAAUGUUUUAAAAUGGGAAAAAUUGACACAACUCUUUUUAUAAAAACCAAAGAAAAUGAUAUGCUCUUAGUUCAAAUAUAUAUUGAUGAUAUCAUUUUUGGUGCUACUAAUGUCUCUCUUUAUGAAGAAUUUUCUAAGUGCAUGCAUAGUGAGUUUGAAAUGAGCAUGAUAGGAGAACUCAACUUCUUCCUUGGACUUCAAAUCAAGCAACUAAAGGAAUGAACCUUCAUCAAUCAAGCAAAGUAUAUAAGAGAUCUUCUCAAAAGGUUCAACAUGGAAGAAGCCAAAACAAUGAAGACUCUAAUGAGCUCAUCCAUUAAGCUUGAUAAGGAUGAGAAAGGUAAAUCCAUUGACUCUAUUAUGUAUAGAGGCAUGAUAGGUUCUUUGCUCUAUUUGACCACUAGUAGACCUUACAUUAUGUAUAGUGUGUGUUUGUGUACUAGAUUUCAAUCUUGUCUUAAAAAAUCUCACUUAAGUGUCGUGAAAAGAAUCCUCAAAUAUUUGAAAGGGACAAUGGACAUAGGCUUAUGGUAUCCUAAGAGUGAUAACUUUGAAUUAAUUGGUUUUUUGGAUGCUGAUUUUGUCAGUUGUAGGGUUGAAAAAUAAAACACUAGUGGCACUUUUCAUUUCUUAAGACACUUACUUGUCUCAUGGCAUAAUAAGAAGCAAAAUUUGGUAGCUUUGUCAACAGCAGAAGCUAAAUACAUAGCAACUGGUUUAUGUUGUGCACAAAUCCUUUGGAUGAAAUAAACACUUAGUGAUUUUGAUUUAUCUUUUGAGCAUAUUCCUAUUAAAUGUGAUAAUAGUAGUGCCAUAAGUAUAUCAAAAAAUCUCGUGCAACACUCUAGGACUAAGCAUAUAGAGAUUAGACAUAAUUUUCUUAGAUAUCAUACACAAAAGGAUGAUAUAACACUUGAAUUUGUAAGCAUAAAAGACCAACUUGCCGAUAUCUUUACAAAACCUCUAAGAACAUUUUGUUGAUAUUAGAGGACAAUUAGGAGUGAUUUCUUUAUGAUCUAAUGUGAUGAAUUCUUGAUGAAUAUACUUUUUGAUUGCAUGAAUUUCAUGUCAUAUAUGCAUCAUAUAGAAAUAUACUUAGAUAAUGGUCAAAUUUCGACCAAAAAUCAAAAUUCCCAUGGCAUUAGGCAUAAAAAUUUUGGAAUUUCAACUGAAAAUGGUAGGAGGAGGAUCACAAAAUGAGAAAGUAUGCAAAAAUUGAAAAAUCAAAACGUUGACCAAGCGGUCAAUCGGACUAGACCGAUCGACUAGUUUGUCGAGAUUUAGGAUUUUUAAGAGACUCCAACGCUUCAAUUUUUGCACCGUUCUCCUCUAUUUCUUCACGGUUUCUCUGAUUUUGUCUUUUAGAGACUAAUUUGAGUGCGUUUUGGAUCAAUUGAAGCAUUUUGGAUUGGAUUUUAGGAAGAUUGAAAGUUAAGGUUUCGGAUUUGGGUCGCCUUCUCUUCCUCUCGCGUGUCACAAUCAGCUUUAGCAUUGUUCUCUUUCCAUUUUCACACACCUAGGGUUUCAGUUGUGAGCAUCUCUCUCUCUUUACCAACCACUACUCCCUUGCUUCUUCCAUAUGGCUCCUAGGCGAGAGUCCGCUACUUCUAGGGCACAAGGCAAGCACCCAACUGAGUCGUCUCAGUCAAAGGCACGUCGAAAAGUGAGAUUUGACAUUGCCUUGUUCAGUUCCAUGGAGGACUACCAACUAUACAAGCAACACUUUGCUUAGAGACGAGUAGUUCCCAAGAGAAAUAUUAAUUUUCCUCAACUUCAGCAUUUCGAAUUUAAGGGUCUAUUUACUAGGAUGGUUGGUUGUCUAUUGUCACAAUUUCGGAGCCGGUUUUCCUGACCUUAGUGCGAGUUUUUUACUCGAGGGCGACUUAUGGCAUGGGUGGCAUGAUCAUUUCUACUGUUGGAGGAGUUGAGAUCUGUCUGGACCCAGAGAGCAUCUGCCAUAUUUUCGAUAUUGCUCUGGUUGGACUCAAAGUAUACAAGUCCAAAAUGUGGCCCAUUGUGCCAGGAUUUGAGCUUAGAGAGGUCAUUCAGAGGAUUUGUGAACUUCCAGACGCCCAGGAGAUGGGCAAACCAUUGCCACACAGUUUGACGGUCAUCAACAGGGUGCUACACCAUAUAUUGUGCUCUAUCUUUCUACCACGAAGUGGACAUUGAGAUGAGGUCUCUUAUUAUGAGGCAUUCCUUAUUGACUCCAUUCUAACGGAGAGACGAAUUCAUCUACUAUGUCAUCAUUCACUAAGCCUCCUCACAGUGACAUACCACCUCAUCAGGCACCUCUUGCUCCUGACCAUGCUCCAUUGAUGGAUUUAUUUACUCAUAUUAGCUCUCUAGGCACUCGCAUGAAGGAGUUUGUUGUAGUUAGUGAUACAUGGUUCUACUCCAUAGAGGAUCGCAUGGAUCAGUAUCAGACUGGCUUCACGUCACAGUUUGAGUAUCUCCAAUAGAGGAUUGAGCAUAUUGAGGAUCACUUGAGCAUGAGAAGAUGAUGGCUUUUCUAUGCUCUGUGUUUCCACCUCCACCUCGUCAACCUUGAUUUCUUAGAGACCCAUUGUUUUCAUUUUGUAAUGUUGCCAAAAGGGGGAGAUAUUUAGGAUCUAGGACUCUAUAGGAGACUUACAUGCAUAUCAUUUUCAUAUCAUUGUUUGGAUCGUACAUAUUGGAUAGUGAUACUUUUUACUUAUAUAUGAUAUGCCUAUAUGUUUCAUGUCUUACAUUGUUUCUUAUUGCAAAUUAUCUCUAACAUGUCUUGAUUAUCUUUUUUUUAACUUCAUAAAUUUUGAUUGUUAACCCAUGAUUGGUUUGAGGGGAAGAUUCUUCUUCUCCUAGAUAACCAAGGUUUGUCAUCAUAAAAAAAUUGGAGAUUGUUAGCCCAAGGGUUCUCCUAAUCAUGUUUUGAUGAUAACAAACCAUGCUUAAGUUACUAAUUGGUUUGAAUUAUAAAGAAUUUCAAGUGUUAAUUUGAAAAUUCAUCAAAGAACCUAAUGGAUGCAAGAUCAAGAUUUUUGGAAGACCUUUAAUCAUAAGAAACAUAUGUAAGAUGAAUGCAUGGGUGCACUUAAGAUUUGCAUAUCAUUUCAUGCAUAUUUGGAAAACACGGUUUAUGCUUUAAAGUUACAUUUCCAUCAAAAUUUGAGAUCCAUCAAAUGAACCUUAGGAAAAAUGUUUUAAAAUUGGCAUAUAAUUUUACCUAAAGACCUUGCCUAAGUGUUAGAAGCAAAAGGACAAAAAAAAUAUAGGUUUUCUGGUCAAAAAUGGUGAACCAGUCAAGGCAUUGUCUAAAUCAGCUCAAUCGGCCAAGGUACCGGUCGAUCGGUUUCCCUUUCCCUGUCGAGAUCUAGUCAAGAGGUACAAAAAUCACAAUCUCUGUCUCUUUCUCUCUUUGUCUAUCUUCCAGUAGUCUUUCCUUCCCGGUCGAGGGAUUUGCCUUCCCGAUUGAGGUCCGAUUGAGAGUAAUAGUCACUUGCCAAAUAUUAAAUGCUCCAACAGUUAGUGAACUGGUCGACCCCCACCUUGCCCAGUUGAGGUUACUUUUUGGUUUUCUUGGCUCCCGAUGUUAGAAACCUAUAAAUAGAGAGUUCCACUUCAUUUAUGAGCAAGAGAACACUUGCAUUUAUUUGUUUACCUACUUGUUCUUGCCUUAAAAGCUCUCAUUUCUUUUCUUGGUGCAUUAAAUCUCCAUUUUGAUAUCCUUUAGUGCACCUUUGUGAUUCAUCUUAGCCUUGAGUUGUAUUUGAGCCCUUUUUUUAGCUAGGUUGAGAGUUUCAUACUUGUUAAUUGAGUGUUAAAGCCUUCAAGUGAGUUGAAACUUGUAGAGAUUAUGUGAGAGUCGAUUGGAGCCGAAAUCCAAGUGUAAAGGUGAUUAGAAGCUUGGUUGAAGCUUCAAGUUAGUGGAAUCCUCACUCAAUUAGGAGCUUGAGGAGAGUGGACGUAGCCAAGGAAGUGUCGAACCACUAUAAAAUUUGAGUUUGAUUUCUCUAACAUUGUCUCUUUAUAUUUGUUUAUCUUGUGCUUAAAUUUAUUGUGUUUAAAAAGAAUUUUUAAAUACCCAAUUCACCCCCCUCUUGGGUGUUUUUCUCUUUUAAAAUUAGCCUUUAUUUUCUCACAAACUAUUGUAGUAUAGUGGUUUUUAGGUGUCAUCCAUUAGGAUGAAUUGUUCUCGGUAAUUAAGGCGUGAAUGAGAGGAGAAUUAAUGAUUGUGAUUAAGUAAAAUUGAUUUGAAAAUUCAUGGUGAAAAAUCAAUUUAACAAUGGUUUCUAAUUGAGAAAAACAAUGAAAUGUGAAAUAAAAUAAAAUUAAUAGGAAAUGAAAUUCUCGAAGUUAGAAUUUUCUAAAAAACAAAUUCCAUGGUGAAUGGAUGUUGAGAUCUAAUUUUCAUCAAGUUAGAUUGAAAACCGAAAUUUUCAUAUAAACUGAUUUUUUAUUUAGUUUUAGGUCUAGAUUUAAUUUCCCUUAAAAUUAGGUUAUUUAAUCCAAGAAAUCAAUUCAAAUCAUAUAUUCAAUUCAUCUUAAAUUAUCUUCCAAUUAUUCACACAAUGCAACUAUUCAAUCUCAUCAAAUCUAGCUUUUAAGAAUUUAAUGAAUCUACCUAGUUUGCAUUGUAAUAGUCAUCCAUGACAAUUUGAAGAGAAAAAUAAUUCAAUUAAUCAAUCACUUGGAUCAAAUUACCUUUGCAAUUAAAGUUCAUUUCUCUAAUUCACCACAGAUUUUGUCUCUAGAUCCUCCUUUCUCAAAGAAAAAUGAGAUUUAGCCACACAUGAUUGGAGAUUUGGUCUCAUAAGGCAUGUUUAGCUAGUGAUAAAAUGAGAGAAAAUAAAGAAAAAUAGAGAAUUCGAUUAAGAAAGAAAAUCUAAAAAAUUCUACAAUUAGAAAUGUCCAAAAAGCUUUUUCAUGAGAAAAUCAAGUUUCUAUUUAUAGGCCAAGGUCAAGUGGACACUUGACAUCAUCUAAGAGGUCUUCCGGAAGCUUCUUCAUCAAGAAAUCUGGAGUUUAAUAAUAAAAUGGUCAUUUCACAAGAGCUCAAACAAUUUCGCAUGAUUAUGUGAAAUAAAAAAUGCAACAACAGCAAUUUACAUCUUCUUGGAGCAUUUCGCAUGACUGUGUGAAAUUUUCACAUGAUCAUGUGGAAUCGACUUGACAACUCUCAUUUAGCCUACAACAUAAUUCCACCUUUUGGUCCAUUUUUCAUAGUCAUGCGAAAUGGAAAUAUUUGAUUUUUAAGUUUUCUUUUGUCAUUUCUUUCAUUUCCUUCUCUUGAUUCCACUUCAACUACCUCCGAAUCCUGGUCCAAACCAAUUGCAUUACUUCUUUCAUUAUGCAUUUGGAUCAUCAUCAACAUUAUUUGUUCUCUUCAAUUUGAUUCAUCUCUUUUGUCACCAAUUUAUCAAAAUCAUACCUUGAAAUGACUCCAAAACUUCAUAAAACUUGUUAGUAACUCUUGCAAGGGCAACAACAUAUUAAUUAAGUGUUUUAGGCAUAGUUACUACUCAAAAGAUGCGAAACUCAUGAUAAUUAUUAUAUAAAAUAUGCUCUUUUUGAGUAGUAAUCAACUUUCUUGCAUAAGCAGACCUUUUAGGGUGGAGUACUAAAGACCAAUAUGCUUGUCCUUGUUGUAAUAAAGAAACUUGCUCUUAUUGAUUGCACCAUGGGAGAAAAUUUUGCUACAUGAGUUAUCAUCAAUUUCUUCCCACCAAUCAUAGAUUUAGACGUGACAAGAGGCCUCUUAAUGGCAAGGAGGAACUGACACUCACACUUAUACAAUUAUCGGGCAUUGAUGUGUUGCAACAAUUAGAAUAACUUACACCAAUUAUGUUGGGGAAGUCACAAAAGGCAAACAUGAAAACUAAAAGGAAAAAAGAAAAAUGUUACAUAUCACCACAACUGGAAAGAAAAAAGUAUUUACUUUCAUUUGCCAUAUUGGAAAGCACUUAUUUUACAUCAUAAUAAUUUAGACAUAAUGCAUAUUGAGAAAAAUGUGUGACAAUAUAAUUGAGACAUUGUUCAGUAUUGACGAAGAAACAAGGACAACCUAAAUAGUCAUCUCGAUUUACAAGCUCUAACUAUUAGAAAUGAGAUUCACCCAAUAGAAAGCAGGACCAAAUUUAUUUUGCUUGCAACAUGCUACUCACUCACCCCAAAUGAGAUUAAGGAAUUUUGCAAGUUUUUGAAAUCAAUAAAGGUCCCCAAUGGCUAUUCUUUCAAUAUCUCUCGUUAUGUGCAACUCAAUGAAAGGAAGAUAUAUGAGCUCAAAUUGUAUGAUUGUCAUGUCCUAAUGCAACAACUUCUCUCACUUGUAGUUCGUGGAGUUCUACAUAAGAAUGUUUGUGGAGUUAUCAUAGAAUUGCGUAAUUUUUUCAAGCAAUUGUGCUCAAAGGUGUUAGAAACAAAUCACUUACACCAACUUGAGAACAAUAUUAUUGUCAUACUAUGUAAAAUGGAGCAAAUAUUUCUUCCAUCAUUCUUUGAUAUUAUGGUGCAUUUACUUGUGCAUCUAGUAAGGCAAAGGUUGCAAGACUUGUGCAAUAUUGUUGGAUGUACCUAAUUGAACGAUAUUGUUAUAAUUUCAUAUGAAUCAUUUAAUUUUAUUUUAUAUUAUGUUCAGUUCAUUAACAUGUACAUUGGUCUACAUAUGGAUGAUGAUAGGUACCUAAGCACUUUAAAGUCAUAUGUGCGUAAUAGAACUUUUCUAGAAGGUUCUAUUGUAGAAAGGUACCUUGCAAAAGAAUGUACAACAUUUUAUUCUAGGUACUUGAAUGAUGUGGAAAUAAAGUAUAAUCACAAUGAUAGAAACUUUGUUGGUUUCAACACUAGAGGAGAUGAAAGGGGUUAUCUUUAAACAUAUUGGACAUGCAUUGGGAAAGCCCAUAUUUCAUUAACUUAGUUCAAAAGAGUGGUCACAAGCACAUUUAUAUGUGUUGACAAAUUGCGAAGAUGUCAUACCAUUCAUUGAGUAAAAAAUUUAUUUGAAUUUUAAUUAAAGCUCUAGUUUAUAUCCUUAAUCAAUGUUUUUUAAAUUCACAAGGAGCACAAGCAAACCAUCAAGGCUAGACCACAUAUACGUGUUUGAGACGUAGAUUUAAUUCAUAACAAGGAAUUUAUCAAGUGGUUUGAAAGACAUGUAAGUAUAUUCCUUAUUAUAAGGGAUUUAUUUCACAUUAUGUUUAUAUUGAAUCCAAACCUAUUAUUGAAUUGUAGGUUGAACAAUUACAUAAUGAAGGUCAUAUAUCUGAACACCUUCUCACAUUAUCAUGUGUUCCAAAUUCAUUAGUUACAUGCUUCAAAUGAUAUAUUGUCAAUGGAUUUAGAUCCCACAUUAAAGAACGUGAUAAAAAAGUUUUUAAAAAAAGACUCAGAAUAAUGGAAUUGUUGUAGUUGCAAAAACGUCAAGCUUUACAAGUGCAUGUGAUAUGAGUCCAAUUAUUAGUGAUGCUCUCUACUAUGGUGUUCUAACUAAAGUUGUUGAGUUACAUUAUCUUGGUGAAAAUAAGGUUGUUUUAUUCGAGUUUGAUUGGUGGGAUGUUACAAAUAUUGGAAAAUUGAUAAAAGAUGAUGAGUACAAUUACACAUUUGUUAACUUUGCAUGAAUUCUAACCACGAACGAACGAUUUGUACUUGCAUCUCCAGCAAAGUAAGUGUUCUAUGUGAAGAAUGCGAAUGAAUCAGAUUGGCAUACUAUCAUGGAGAUGCAACCUCAAGACCUCUAUAAGAUGAACGGGAUAGGAUCCAAUGGUGAUUUUGAACCAUUUCAACAAAGUGAACUACAUGAUCACUAAUAUAUCUCAGAUUUAGUUGAUGAAGAUAUAAUCAAGUGGAACAAAAGUGAUGUUUUAGGACUAAUCAUCCUAAAAAAUAUUGUAGUUUCUUAAAAAAAAAAUGAAAAUGAAGAAGAUAAUUGAACCUUUGUCAUACUUUAAAAAGCAACUAUGCAUUGUUCAUUUUGUAUGUUUUGGUUUUCUUCAUUUAAUUUCCUGAUUUUUGUGAUUCAAUGUCAUAUUAUUGAUCUUGAAAUAUUUUUCUAAUUUUUCAUUCUACGAUGGUUUCAACAAGGAUGACAUCAAGUCAAAAAAGGAAAUGUGGUCCCACACACAAUAUUGCAUUACAGGGAUUAAGGUCAGGGAAGAAGGUAAAAGUUGCAUUUAAUGAGUACAAUCAAUUGGUUAAACAGAAAAAUGGAAAACACUUAUCGAGCUACAUAGGGACACUUGUAUCUAACCAACACAAUGUACCUCUCCAAGCUAGUGAUUGGAAAAAUGUUCCAAAUGAUGCAAAAGAGAAAGUAUGGCCUUUGUUUUGGUAUGUUGUAUUUCUCACUAUAUGAUGUCAUUUCACUGUUAUUCUAUUUUGUGACUAACGUUUGAAUCAUAUGUAAGAAAAAUUUGAAGUAGAUAAAGACUGAAAAGAUUACAUGUUGGGUAUAGCCUCAAAUAAAUAUAGAAGCUAUAAAAAUAUGAUGAAUGCAAAAUACUAUGACCCUUGGCAUAAGGAUGCAUGAGGAGAGGUUAAUACAUAAAUCACCAUUUGUCUCUGAUGUUGAUUGGAAGUGGCUUGUCUCUGAUGCAUAAACCAAAUCCCCCACUGAAUGUUUGAUAUUUGAUAGCAGGAAAAACACACCCGCAGCUAUACACCUCCAUCAUUCAGAUAAUUAUAGUGGGGGAGAUGAUUCAUGGUUGCCCUUAUACCCUUUAUUUGCACCAUCUAUUGAGAUUCUUUAUCAUGGCCAGGUUUUACUGCAGCAAUAAGAUAUGGUGGCAACAAUUUUAUCUAUAGGUGCGGUUCCAGACCGCCUCCAUAGGUGCGGUUCCUGACUGCCUCCAUAGGUGCCUCUUCUUGUAAUGUUUGUUCUGGGAAUUACACUUGAAAGCCUUAUCGUGAUAAGGGAUUACAAACACUAGUUCAGAGGACAGCCAUGUUAAACUUCCACUAUGUUUGUGUCACAUUAUCAGCAGCCUAGUGUUUAUUGGUCAUGCUAUCUGCAACUAAUAUAACCCGGUGAACUUCAAUCUAAAUUCUGAAAGUACUCAUGUGACAGAUGGUGCCUUUCAGCAGAUAUCAUCAAUUUAAAAGUAGUGUGUGUGCCUAUAGGUGGGAAGGCCUUGGCAAAUGUUCAGUAUUCCGGUAAUUCAAGAAGGAUAUAUCUAAAAUAGAUUUUCUUCUUGCCCAUUUCAAUAGUUAAAAUUUGAGAAGAUUGUGUCCACAUCACACAAAUAUUAUUGGUCCUUCUGUUGCAAUUUACCUCUGAACAUGUCUUCCAAUUCCCACGGUCCUGUUACUCCAGGAAAACUAUUUCGGUCAUAUUGAAAAAAAAAAUAUUAAAGAAGGUACACAUGCUUUUAAGUGGACUGGGGCAUUCAUAUCAGGUGGUCUGUAUCCACAUAUGCCACUUCGUGAAAGGUGGAACAGCCUAAUCACUAGGCUAUUUAGUGUGGCCCAGCCACGUUAAUCAAGCACAAGUCUUCAUACUUAAAGUCAAAUGGUGUCUUUAGUCUCAUUACACAUCGCUAUUUGAAGAUUAACUCAUCACUAGUGUAAUGCGAUUAAGACAGUCCUAACUCAAUAUUUGUUCUAGUUUUGGAUGCAAAUGCUUGCUGGUUUCAUCAUUGGAUGGGAUAAAGGUGCAAUCAGGACUAUGAAUACGUGCAGUAAUACUUCAUUCUCUUUUUUCUCAAUGAGACUUCUUGGCACAAUUUUGCUGCUCAGCAACCUACCUUUCCAUGGAAAAUCAGUUGUGACUGAUAGUAAUGGAUAUAUUCUAGAAAGCUAAACAUAGAUAGCAUUCAAUAUUAUCGAUAUAACAUUAACAGCGUAUGUCUCAAUGCUCAUCAGCUACAAGCAAUGGACAAACACUUUGAGUAACUCACAGCAGUCAAAAUUCCUAAACAGGACAGACGUGACAGAUCUAUAUAUAGAACACUGCAUAUGAGUCACAGGAAAAGAUAAUACGGGUACAUAGAAGCUCUUAUUUUACAUAUUACUCAUACUGAUCAAAGUCGCUCAGUUGGGAUGGAUGGGAGAAGGAGGUUUGAGGGGUGGCUUGUGCGGGGAAGUUGGCAGCUUCUUUCCGGGAGCUGGUUGCUUCUUUGCUGGAGUUGAAGGAGGCUUAAUCUUCCGAGGUGGCUUGUAUGAGUCUUCAGCAUUCUCAGCAGGAGGGUGACCAGGGUUGUGACCAUAAUGUGGUGGCUUCUCUCCCUUAGGUGGUUUGCCAACUGGGGUUGGUGGCUUGUUUUCUGGGAGUGGCUUCUCUCCCUUGGGUGGUUUGCCAACUGGGGUUGGUGGCUUGUGUUCUGGGAGUGGCUUCUCCCCCUUGGGAGGUUUUUCGAAUGGGGUGGGUUUGUGUCCUGGUGGUGGCUUCUCUCCCUUGGGAGGUUUACCAAUUGGGGUCGGUGGCUUGUGUUCUGGGAGGGGCUUCUCUCCCUGGGGAGGUUUAGUGGGUGGCUUGUGUUCUGGAGGUGGCUUCUCCACCGGAGGCUUAUGCUCUGGUGGUGGCUUCUCGAAGGGGGGAUGCUCAGGGUAAUCACCAAGUGAGGGGGUGGUGAGAACCACCAUGCCAAGCAACAACACUAGCAAGUAUGUAGUAGACAUCUUUGGGUUUGGACUCAGACAGUGCAAAACUACGAGAAAUCGCUAGCCCUUUAUAGCGGCUCGGACCUAAUACUGACAUAAUAUAAAAUAAAUAUUAUAUUUUAUCAAGAGAGAACAGAGUGUAAUUUUAUCAUUAAUACCGAUCGAGGCCAAAGAAAGAAGACCCAUAAUCCAUUUCCCACAAGCAUACACAAUGCAGCUGUAAUUUUAUCAUUUACUUUUAUCCCUUGGACCACUGCAUUUUUGUUGAGAGACACAAUAACACAUUUUUAUCUGUCAUUCAACAUUUACAGUAAAGAGAGGGCACAAAACGCAAUUAGAUAAAUUAUGUUUUGCCUGCUAAAAAGAGGCAAAUAACUUUAUUUGCAACAUAAUUAUUUUGGUUUCUAGUGACCCCGGGGCCUUUCGGUUGGUUUGGGAUCGGAAAAUGAACAUCAUAGGGGGGGUUGUGCCCUUAUGGGCAUAUAUAUCUGAUAGCUUCAACUGGCCUUGUUCCUAGAAAGAAAUUGCCAAAGAUAUAAACUUAUUCCAGGCUGAAAGUAGAUGAGAGUCAUAAUGAACAUCAACCUUUGUUCAGUUUGAUUCAAUGCCCCCAUAGUGUUCAUUUCACAGAUCUGAAUGAUUAUAUCCGUUGAAUACAUAAAUUAAUGAAGACAAAUAUGAAACCCAAGAUACAUCUCUGCAUAACAACCCCAACCCUGGUUGCUAUGUUUCCCUUCUUCUAUUCACAUGAGGAUACUGGUUAUAAUUGUCAAACUUGCAACAAGCCCUUUGACACCUAACGUCAAUGGACGAAUUAAAAGUCUCCUUCAAACGUCUAUUUCACAGCAUGAAGCUUAUAAAGGAUGCUGACAACCUUCAGAGUUAGCGACAAAAGAUAAUUAUCAAGGAGAGAUAGUUCCAUGAGAAUUCCAAGGAGUCUGAAUCAAAGACAAAUUGCUCACUCAAGGGUUCUUAUUUUCUUUUAGGUACAAAUCUCUUGAGUGUUGUUAAAGAAACACGUCACUGUCAUUUUGAUUUGCAUUUAACAUUUCACUUUUGUUCUGGAAGGUUUGUUCCGGAAACAUAUCAAAUGAGCAUCAUUUUCUUCUUCGGUGACACAUGGUCGCGAGUACGUGGGUCCAUUUUCAUGCCACUUAGUUGAAAAGUUGGAAAGAAAAAACAUGCCAACAAGAAGAUAGUGAGAGAAGGGGCACUUCAAGCCUUUAACAUGAACAAACAGUAAAUAAAAGAUGUUUCUCCACUCAUAAAAGUGUGUUAGAUAGCAAUAUAACGAAUCACAUCCAAAAUCUUUACUAGGCUCAAACAUAAAGAAGACUCAUUUUUAAGAAAAGAUAAAAAUGGCAUUGUCUGAUAGUAUCCAAUACACGAGAUGGCACUUAAUUUGUACAAGAUCUGUCAAUGCUGACGCACAUUUUCUGAUUAAAAAAAAACUGAUCAGUCAAAAGCAAUGAAGAGAAGUGAUGACAAUGAAUGAUGCUUCCAAUAUUUUCACCCCUUAUAGUGUUCUUCAUGAUUCAGAUAUAUAAUUGGAAAUAGAACAACCCUAUGCCAUACAUUCGUCUAAGUAUGGUGUCUAAUUUUUUGUGUCAGCGGUUGCGAAUGGAGCGUGCAAAAGUCCAAAUUGGCGUCUCUCCAUUUCCACAUAGGAAGGUGACCUUUAUUGACAAAUACCCAAUAUUUGUAGACAUUCCUUAAAUAUCAUAACUUCUUGUUGAUUUGAAAAUCAUUUUUCAACUACCAUGUUUUAAUAAAUAUUUUUUAAAAUGUAUUUUUAUCAAAGUCCACCAUGAUGGAUAAUAUUCACCAUGCAAUAAUUAAUAAAGUACAAACUAAGCGAAAUGAAAAGCAUUUUCUUUGCUUUGAGUUGAUUUUGGUUGCAUUGAGUUGAUUUUGGUUUCAUGGUUUUUUCAACUCUUAUUUUGAUUGGAAGAUGUCAAGAAAAGAAAACAUAAAGAAAAAUUAAAAGGGAAAAAAGAAGAAAAAUAAAAAAAAAUAGAUUUAAAAGUUAAUAAAUUAUUUUUUAUAUUUAUUUUAAUUCAUUUCACUUAUUUUUCUUUUACUAUAUAAAAUUUAAAUAAUUUAAAUUUUAUAAUUAAUUUAAUUACAUUUCAUUUUCUUCUAUAUUUAAAUAUUGGAAAAAUAUUUUACUUAAUAUUUUUUUCUUUAAUUUCUUUGGCAUUUUGGGAACCAAACUUAGCCUUUAAAAUAAAAAACAAAAAAAAAAUGAAAAUAAGGAGGGAAAAGUGAGAAAAGAUAAAAACAAUAUGUAAAGGAUUUGAAAAGUAUUAGUUUGUAAUUACUAUUUGGAUUUCAAUAGUAUUUUAUUUGUCUUUCUAUAUUUCAUGUAAGAGAGAAUUUAAGAUAUUCCCCAAGGCAAAGCAUUAGUUACCUGCAAUCAGUGGUGAUAAGGCUCCAAGCCAAUUUUGGGCCCCAUAUCUUAAGACAGUACAAUUUCCAUUUCAACAUUUCUGAUUUCUCAGAUGUUUCACAUACCACAGAAGAACAUUGUUUGUGAAAAUAUGCAUUUAUGUUGGAUUUUGUAUGCUGUGGGGACUGGGGCAAGGAUCAUAUGGAAGAGUGGUUGACUUUUUCUGUACUUUAACGGUUGAAAUAGGAUAAGCACGGGCAUUUGUGAGGCUUAAUUGAUUUUGAAGCCUGAAAUUGCGUUUCUGUCAUUUUGUCAAAAAAAUGGCAGAUUCCAUACUCAUAUGUUUGGCCUGUGGCCAUGUACAGAUGCCAUUUAGUGACCAGUUUGUAACUGUCAAUCGUUGCGUUUUGACUCUGCCUCAACAACAUCUGCCAUUGACGGGUUUUCAUACUUGCAAAUCAAAUAGUCUUUCGUCCCAUCAGGAAUUUCGGUUUAAAUAUUAUUAAGCAUACGUUUGGCUGACAAUCAUUAUCCAGUUCAUGAUUUGGUUUCUUACCCUUAAUCAAUGGUUUCUAAGUGAAUAUAUGUAGAAGGAAAUCCGAAGUGUAGACAGUAGUAUCGAUAACUCUCAAUAUUCUCUAUAUAAUAGAAUAAACAGCGUCAUAGUGAUCGUCGCCUACAAGCAAGGUACAAAUACCAAAACGAGUGACUCACAUAGACAUCUCCCAACAAGAUGUAGUAGUGACUGACACAUGGACACAAUUAACUCGUAGAAAAGGAUAAGACCAUUGCACAGCAGCUCUUAUUUUACAUACUACUUAUGCUAACCAAAGUCAAUUAGUUGGGAUGGGUGGGAGAUGGAGGUUUGUGCGGUGGCUUGUGGGGCGGAGUUGAUGGCUUCUUUCCAGGAGCUUCUGGCUUUUUCAUCGGAGCUGAAGGAGGCUCAAUCUUAUGAGGCGGCUUGUAUGAGUCUUCUUUACUCUCGACAGGAGGGUGGCCAGGGUUGUGAUCAUAAUGUGGUGGCUUCUCUCCCUUAGGUGGCUUGCCAACUGGGGUUGGUGGCUUGUGUUCAGGAAGUGGUUUCUCUCCCAUGGGAGGUUUAGCAAUUGGGGUUGGUGGCUUGUGUUCUGGGAGUGGCUUCUCUCCCUUGGGAGGUUUAGUAGGUGACUUGUGUUCUGGAGGUGGCUUCUCCACCGGAGGCUUGUGCUCCGGUGGUGGCUUCUUGGUUGGAGGGGGCUUGGGGUAAUCAGCAAGAGAUGGGGUGGUGAGAACCACCAGUCCAAGGAACAACACUAGCAAGUAUGUGGGAGACAUUUUUGAGUUUGGGCUGAUCAGAUGAUGCAAAACUAAAGCAUUACGUGACCUUUUAUAGCAUGUAGCUCCCAAUACCCACUAAGUAUUGUGGGGUCCAUUUGUGCCCUACGGGGUUGAAAACUUAGACAAUUGGGCAAGGACCCACCUGACUAUGGAGGACUAGUGAGGUGUGAUCAUAGCUUUAGGAUUUUUCUUCCUCUGCAGCCGUCGUGCCGUUGGCAUGAUUUUCUUAAUCUUAAAUAAAGGCAUAGUUAUAGAGUUGUUUAAUCUCUAAAUGGGAUUUUAUAUAUAUCUUCAGAUAGCCAUUAAUAUAUUUGAUGAAGAAAGAAAGACAAGUGCAUACAACAUGUAUACGACUAGCUUUCAUGGAGUUCAUUUAUGAUCAGUUUUCCUGUACAUGUAAACCAGGAUCAUAUAUAUGUUUCUGUUCCACAACUAUUUUGGAAUCUUGUUUAUCAGUUUUUAUCAUUAUAAUGUCACAUAGGCUGCCAACUUGGGCGCUAAAAGAACCAGUUGGGCUAGUUCGUUUCAGAAUUUCAAUGUGGAUUCAGGAAUUGUUUUGUAAGAUAUGCGAAAUAGUAGAGGGAUGAAUAGUGUUUCAUUAAUAAAAGUGUCCUGUAAAUUAGAAGGUGUCAUAGAAACUAUAAUCAAUAAAUAACUUUUUUUCCCCACGGGUGGUGUUUCUUGUGGGGAUCAGUGACUGGUUUAGGUUCACCCAAAAUGAGUUCAGACUAAAAUUGGUUUGAGUCAAUGCCGUGUCUCUUUUUUCCAGAAAUCAACUAUUUUAUGCAUUGAAUAAAUCAUACAAAGAAAAUAUGAACGCCCGCAAAACCUAAACCCUGGUUGCUAACUUUCUAUGUUUCAGUUCUAUUCACGCAAGAAUAUUAGUUUAAGUUUGGGAAAAAUGGCAACUUACCUAGUGAUUACUUGGUUUUGGUUUGCGACUAUUUACGCAACCAACCAUGAGUUUGACUUUAACGUCAUGGGUUGAAGCCUCCUACAGGAAGGGAGAAAGCUCCACAGCUAGCUCCAAAAGAGAAUUAUCACAUUGAUAGCUCCAGAGAUUCCCAAGGGGACUGAAUCAAAGACAAGUUCCUCACUUUUUCUUCUUUUGAGGCCAAAUAUGAACCAAGGAUCACACAACCUCAUUCAACUUCAUAAGUUUGAUUUCAUGCAGUUGAACACUGGGUGAAGGCCAUGACAAGAAUUGAUUCAAAAAUUCUAUCACUCUUUUAAGUAAUGGAAGAUUAUUAUCUCUGAUUGGCAUCACAACAGCACAUGCUCCUAGAUCUUUCUAGACACUCCAUGCAAUGAAAGCACAAUGGAUCUUGUAACGAUAGAAACUAAGCCAUGCUACAGUACUAGAUGAUGAGGUAAAACUAGUAGACACGGGUGGCAGCCUAUAUGGGAGGGACACAAGUCUAAUUGAUUUGCAUUUCAGCAUUAUAGAUAGGUAUGUUUUGGAAGAUUUGUUCUGGAAAUACCGCACCAAGUAGGAUUCUUUUUCUCUUUAGUGGGUCCACUUGCAUGCCAAUUAACGAGUUGAAAAGUAUGAGCACCUACCUCGUGCUCGUGGAACCGAAGGUCAGUGAAGUGGGGCUCCUUUUGGCCUCGUGUAAACUUGAUUCAGAAGUGAAGUUAAUAGUCUUCCAUUCAGAUGGAUACAUGGGAAUUUUUCUCUUUUAUUUAUUUAUUUAUUUUUUUUUUGUGUGUGUAUGUCAAAGGAUAAUGAAUGAAGCGCGUUAGCUUGUUUUCUGACUGGAACCGCAGAUGUCCAAAUUGGAGUUCCUUCAUUUCUUACUUAGGAUUGUUACAUGUAUAAACAAGGUAUAAGAAAUAUGCCAACGUGUCUUGAGGAGUUAUUGAUUAGAAAUAACAAGUCACCCGACUGUAGAGUUCCAAGAUUUGAAUCUUCAGACCCUAUAGCAGCCUCUGGGGUACGUGGCAUCCUAUAGCAUAUUAAUGAAGGCUUUUUCGAUUUAGACUUCACAAUACCAAUUAAUAUGUAUGCACAAAAUGGAGAUGACCCCAAAAAAAACAGAAUCGCCAUAGUUUAUGAGGUUAAGGUGAUUCUCCACUUAAUAUCUACAUUAGCUAAUUAUGUAAAUCAAAUGAACUUCUAUUUUUCCUUUUUUUUUUUGGUUUAUGUCAAAUAGUAGCCCAUAAUUAACCCAACCAUUAGCCUGUUUGAAUUGAUUUCACAUGCACAAUGUUGUAGUAGUUCAUAUUUUGAAUUUUAUUUUUACAAAGGUAGUUAAGGAAAAUGAAGUAUAAUAAUUAUAAAAGCAGACUAUAUACACUACAAUAAUUGUUAGAAUGGUAUCUCAAAUUCUAAUUUAAAAUAUUAUUUUUUGUAAAAGAAAUAUUAUAUAGAAUAUUUCCUAAUUUUAUAAAUGAUUAUAAUUAGAUCUUUAUAAAAUAAGGAAAGUUGGUAAGAAUAUCUUUAUAAAUAUUUUAGGUCAUGAGAGAAAGAAAUGGGAUAAAAAUGUGAUGAAGAGGUGAAAUAAGAGAGUUGAUUAGGAUAUAGAUGUGAAGAAGAAAGGGAUUCAAUAUAUAUAUAUCUUUCAAUUACCACAUUAAAACCCUGUGAACCUUUUAUAUGGUUUACUUUAUUUUUAUAUUCCUCCUUUAAUAUAUUUACAUUAAUGCUUCCAUUGGCACAACAAUAACGAAUUACAAAUACAAGCAACAAGUCCCAUGUUUUAUUACCAAAAGCAGGUAAAAUCCACCUAAUAUAUUACAAUAUAUUCAUCCAAUAUUUUAGACCAAUUCUUCACCAUAAAUAUCAUAAUGUGGCUUUUGUUCUUUCUUAAAUUUAAAUUGAAUUGUCUUAUAUCAAUUUGUUUGUGAUUUUUUCAUUAACUUCACUUUCAUUUGGUUAUCUUUGGUUUUUGAAAAGUAUUAAGGAAUUAAUUAACAAAAUAAUGUUAAGAAAAAUAAUUUUCUCUCUUUUGAUUUUGAUUUUGUAGUAGAAAAAUAUAAUUAAAAUUAUUUAAAAAGUAUGUAAUUUUAAAUUAUUUAAUAUUUAGAUAAAAAAAAUAAGUCUAAUGAGUUUAAAAUAACAUAUAAAAAUAAUUUAUUUAUUUUAAAUUUAUUUUUUAUUUUCCAUUAUGUUCUCUUUCUCUUUUACUUUUUCAUAUUUUUUCUUACGAAGAAUCAAACACAACCUCAUAUUAUAUGUCAAGUGUUUGUCUAUAUUUGAGCAAUGUUAGAUACGGCCAUGGAUUCAUCAAACUAAACUGAUUUUAAUAGAUACUUCACAAAUUGAUUUAUACACUAAAUCAUUGGAUAGCAAUGAUGCAUUGGAAUUAAACGUAGGAUGAAGCUCGAAGAACACUGUUUGUGUAACAACAUAUUUAUGAAAUUAUGCAAAGGAUGAGCUUCGGGGUAGUAGUACAAGGUCAUUAAUGGAGAGCCGUGUUAAACCUUGAUUGUGAUUGGAUUCCGUUAUCAGCAACAGCAACCUUGUUUGUAACCUUGAAAGUCAUUCUGUCCACAUCGAAACUCCAAUUUGACGUUUGUAAUUACCAUUCCUGGAGUGUUCCUUGAUUGAAAUUUAAAUAAUAAUUGCGGCCCACAAGGAAUAUUUUCGAUUCUGUGGGAAUUUGACAAGGUUUGUUAGAGAAGACUGGUGACAUGUUGACUUCAAUGGUUCAAAUAGGAGACGUAUGUGGAUUUGGGGGGUUUAAUUGAAACUGAGUCCCUAUGGCUUUUUAAUAUUUGCAUUGAGCAGUCUCCAUGUGACUUCCUAAUUCCCACCAACCCUCCUGUCCAUGCUGUGAAACUAAAUUGUAAUUUAUCAGCCUUUGUCAAUGGUUUCUAAAUUAAAGAUAUAGACCAUGCAUGUACUUUAAUAAAAGCAAAUCUAAAGUGUAGAUAGCAGCAAUGGUGACACCCAAUAUUCUCCAUAAAAUAGAAUUAGAAUAAGCAGUGUUACAUUGUUCAUGAUCACCUACAAGCAUACAAGAACUUCCAUGAAUAACUCAUAGCAAUUGCCAACAGGGCGUCGUAGAGACUCAUACAUAGAACACUAUCCACCCAGAGGAAAGGACAAGACCAGUGCGCUGCAGCUCUUAUUUUUCACAUGUAUACCACCACUCGUAAUAACCAAAUUCACUCAGUUGGGAUAGGUGGGAGAUGGUGGUUUGUGGGGUGGCUUGUGGGGAGGAGUUGGAGGAGGCUUUAUUUUCUGAGGCGGCUUGUAUGAGUGUGCAGGAGGAUGCCCGGGAGUGUGACCAUAAUGUGGUGGCUUCUCUCCCGUAGGUGGUUUGCCAAAUGGGCUUGGUGGCUUCUCUCCCUUAGGAGGUUUACCAAUUGGGGUUGGUGGCUUGUGUUCUGGGAGUGGUUUCUCUCCCUUGGUAGGUUUGCCAAUUGGGGUUGGCGGCUUAUGUUCUGGGAGUGGCUUCUCUCCCUUGGGAGGUUUGCUAAUUGGGGUUGGCGGCUUAUGUUCUGGGGGCGGCUUCUCUCCCUUGGGAGGUUUGCCAAUUGGAGUUGGCGGCUUAUGUUCUGGGAGUGGCUUUUCUCCCUUGGGAGGCUUGCCAAUUGGGGUUGGCGGCUUAUGUUCUGGGGGUGGCUUCUCUCCUUUAGGAGGUUUGCCAAUUGGAGUCGGCGGCUUAUGUUCUGGAAGUGGCUUUUUUCCCUUGGGAGGUUUGCCAAUUGGGGUUGGCGGCUUAUGUUCUGGGGGUGGCUUCUCUCCCUUGGGAGGUUUGCCAAUUGGAGUCGGCGGCUUAUGUUCUGGGAGUGGCUUCUCUCCCUUGGGAGGUUUUGUUGGUGGCUUGUGUUCUGGAGAUGGCUUCUCCCCUGGAGGCUUGUGCUCCGGAGGUGGCUUCUGAAAUGGCGGGGGCUUGGGGUAAUGAGCAAGAGAUGGAGUACUG
RNAcentral lists this long non-coding RNA (80344 nucleotides) under Vitis vinifera (wine grape). RNAcentral describes it as "long non-coding RNA (VVIN_LNC001392)". Lineage: Eukaryota; Viridiplantae; Streptophyta; Magnoliopsida; Vitales; Vitaceae. The record is from RNAcentral.